GAUGAAGAUGGUCUCUCUCAAACAACCCUGCAACCAAAUAACAAAGAGUCUCUUGUGUCCCCAACACACCCAAUACAAUGGUAAAUUGUAUAGGUGCACUAGUUCGGCGAAGAGAUGGUGAUACAAGUGCAAUAUGGAUGGUAGAUAAAGGUAUUUUUAAUCUGAAAAUAUAAAAACAGCAAGGUAUCUAAUGAUAAAAGUGAGCGUAAACGGUAUUUCAAUGAUAGGAAACAAGGCCUAGGGUUCAUACUUUCACUAGUGCAAGUUCUCUCAACAAUAAUAACUUAGAUAGAUCAUAUAACAAGCCCUCAACAUGCAACAAAGAGUCACUCCAAAGCCACUAAUAGCGGAGAACAAACGUAGAGAUUACGGUAGGGUACGAAACCACCUCAAAGUUAUUCUUUCGGAUCGAUCUAUUAAAGAGUUCGUACUAGAAUAACACCUUAAGACACAAAUCAACCAAAACCCUAAUGUCACCUAGAUACUCCAUUGUCACCUCAAGUAUCCGUGGGCAUGAUUAUACGAUAUGCAUCACACAAUCUCAAAUUCAUCCAACCAACACAAAGUACUUCAAAGAGUGCCCCAAAGUUUCUACCGGAGAGUCAAGAAAACGUGUGCCAACCCCUAUGCAUAGGUUCAUGAGCGGAACCCGCAAGUUGGUCACCAAAACAUACAUCAAGUGGCACGUGAUAUCCCAUUGUCACCACAGAUAAACACGGCAAGACAUACAUCAAGUGUUCUCAAAUCAAAGACUCAAUCCGAUAAGAUAACUUCAAAGGGGAAACACAAUUCAUCACAAGAGAGUAGAGGGGGAGAAACAUCAUAAGAUCCAACUAUAAUAGCAAAGCUCGCGAUACAUCAAGAUCGUGCCAUAGAGGGAACACGAGAGAGAGAGAGAGAGAUCAAACACAUCGCUACUGGUACAUAGCCUCAGCCCCGAGGGUGAACUACUCCCUCCUCGUCAUGGAGAGCGCCGGGAUGAUGAAGAUGGCCACCGGUGAUGGAUUCCCCCUCCGGCAGGGUGCCGGAACGCGCUCCCGAGAGGUUUUUGGUGGCUACAGAGGCUUGCGGCGGCGGAACUCCCGAUCUAUCUUCUCCGUGGAUGUUUUUAGGGUAUGUGGGACUAUAUAGGCGAAAGAAGUCGGGCGGGAGGUGCUCGAGGGGUCCACGAGACAGGGGGUCGCGCCCUGUAGGGGGGCGCCCCUAUCUCCUGGGCUCCUCAAGGAUCUUCUGACUUGAUCUCCAAGCCUCCAGGAUGAUAAUCUUCCAAAAAAACACGUUGCCGGAGGUUUCAUUCUCUUUGGACUCCAUUUGAUAUUCCUUUCCUUCGAAAUACUGAAACAGGCAAUAAAACAGCAAUAUGGGUUGGGCCUCCGGUCAAUAGGUUAGUCCCAAAAGUAAUAUAAAAGUGUAUAAUAAAGCCCAUAAUUAUUCAAAAUAGGUAAUAUAAUAGCAUGGAACAAUCAAAAAUUAUAGAUACGUUGGAGGACUGCCCGUGCACAAGUAGAGGGGUCAAAAGCAGAGCCCCUACUUUUGUACACCGACACUCUUCUUCAAUUUGCACAAAAUUAUAUAUUUCCCUUAAGGCAGCUUGUUUCUUAUGAGCAGGGAAAUAUUUAGCAGAGAAGUAAUAAAUCAUAUCCUGGGGACUACGCACACAACCAGGAUCAAGAGAAUUAAACCAAGUUUUAGCAUCACCCUUUAAUGAGAAUGGAAAUAUCUUAAGGAUAUAAUAGUAACGAGAUUUCUCAUCAUUAGUGAACAGGGUGGCUAUAUCAUUUAACUUAGUAAGAUGUGCUACAACAGUUUCAGAUUCAUUGCCAUAAAAGGAUCAGAUUCAAUCAAAGUAAUUAUCUCAGGAUCGACAGAGAAUUCAUAAUCCUUAUCAGUAACAAAGAUAGGUGAAGUAGCAAAUGCAGGGUCAUAUUUCAUUCUAGCAUUUAGAGAUUUCUAUUUAAGUUUAGCUAAUAACUUCUUAAGAUCAGAUCUAUCAUUGCAAGCAAGAAGAUCUCUAUCAGUUUCUUCAUCCAUAACAUAACCCUCAGGAACAACAGGCAAUUCAUACUUAGGGGGAGAACCUUCAUCAUAACUAUCUUCAAUAAUUUCAUUCUCUCUAACCCUAGCAAGUUGUUCAUCAAGAUAUUCACCUAAUGGCACAGUAGUAUCAAGCACAGAAGUAGUUUCAUCAUAAGUAUCAUGCAUAGCAGAAGUGGCAUCAUCAAUAACAUGCGACAUAUCAGAAUUAAUAGCAGAAGCAGGUUUAGGUGUCGCAAGCUUACUCAAACAGAAGGAGAAUCUAGUGCAGAGCUAGAUGGCAGUUCCUUACCUCCCCUCGUAGUUGAGGGAUAAAUCUUAGUUCUUUCGUCUUUCAAGUUCCUCAUAGUGACCAGAAGAUAUAAAUCCCAAGUGACUCAAAGAAUAGAGCAAUGCUCCCCGGCAACGGUGCUAGAAAAUAGUCUUGAUAACCCACAAGUAUAGGGGAUUGCAACAGUUUUCGAGGGUAGAGUAUUCAACCCAAAUUUAUUGAUUCAACACAACGGGAGCCAAAGAAUAUUAUCGAGUAUUAGCAGUUGAGUUGCCAAUUGAACCACACCUGGAUAACUUAGUAUCUGCAGCAAAGUAUUUAGUAGCAAAGUAGUAUGGAAGUAACGGUAACAGUGACAAAAGUAACGGUAGUAGUUUUGUAGUAAUUGUAACAGUAGCAACGGUAAAGUAAAUAAGCAAAGCACAAUAUGUGAAAAACUCGUAGGCAUUGGAACAGUGAUGGAUAAUUAUGUCGGAUGCGGUUCAUCAUGUAACAGUUAUAACAUAGGGUGAGACAGAACUAGCUCCAAUUAAUCAAUGUAAUGUAGGGAUGUAUUCCGAAUAUAGUCAUACGUGCUUAUGGAAAAGAACUUGCAUGACAUCUUUUGUCCUACCCUCCCGUGGCAGCGGGGUCCUAAUGGAAACUAAGGGAUAUUAAGGCCUCCUUUUAAUAGAGUACCGGACCAAAGCAUUAGCACUUAGUGAAUACAUGAACUCCUCAAACUACGGUCAUCACCUAGAAGUAUCCCGAUUAUUGUCACUUCGGGGUUGUCGGAUCAUAACACAUAAUAGGUGACUAUAGACUUGCAAGAUAGGAUCAAGAACUCACAUAUAUUCAUGAAAACAUAAUAGGUUCAAAUCUGAAAUCAUGGCACUCGGGCCCUACUAACAAGCAUUAAGCAUAGCAAAGUCAUAGCAACAUCAAUCUCAGAACAUAGUGGAUACUAGGGAUCAAACCCUAACGAAACUAACUUGGUUACAUGGUAAAUCUCAUCCAACCCAUCACCGUCCAGCAAGCCUGCGAUGGAAUUACUCACGCACGGCGAUGAGCAUCAUGGAAUGGUGAUGGAGGAUGGUUGAUAAUGACGACAGCGACGAAUCCCCUCUCCGGAGCCCCGAACGGACUCCAGAUCAGCCCUCCCGAGAGAGAUUACGGCUUGGCGGCGGCUCCGUAUCGUAAAACGCGAUGAAACUUUCUCUCUGAUUUUUUUCUCCGCAAAAUAGAAUAUAUGGAGUUGGAGUUGAGGUCGGUGGACAUCCAGGGUGCCCACGAGGCAGGGGGCGUUCCCAGGGGGAGGGGCGCGCCCCCCACCCUCGUGGACAGGGUGUGGGACCCUUGGCCUUGAUUCUUUUGCUAGUAUUUUUUAUAUUUUCCAAAAGUAAUCUCCGUGGAUUUUCAGGUCAUUCCGAGAACUUUUAUUUCUGCACAAAAAUAACACCAUGGCAGUUCUGCUGAAAACAGCGUCAGUCCGGGUUAGUUUCAUUCAAAUCAUGCAAGUUAGAGUCCAAAACAAGGGCAAAAGUGUUUGGAAAAGUAGAUACGUUGGAGACGUAUCAGCGGUUCUUCAAGGAAGCACGGGCCCAGGCUCGCAAUACGUGAGCCAGACGAUGAACCACCGAGGGAAGCUCAAGUACGGCCUUGUGAAUGGCCGUUAGAGGAGUUUAUGGUGCAGGCAGGCAUUAAGGAUGAAUUUGACGCGUAUGUGCGUAAUGCCGAUCUUGAGGACUUAUGUCAGAUAAGUGCUCCCAACACUACUACCUUACUGACUCCUUUGUGAGAAGGUUUAAAUUCACAUCUUCGCGCAAUUCUCGCACUGUUUUAUUUGGUCUUUAUGAUCAAUCAUAUACCAUGGACCUAGAAGAUUUUAAUACUGCUUGUAAACUCCUGCAGUGGGGCAAUGUUAGUGAACCUCGUAAAUCUGAAUAUAAAGACUUUCUUGCUAGUAUCACUGUGGGUUAAUCCAGAGAAAUCACACAAGCUACCAUAAGGAGCAUUCAUUUCCCCUCCAUACAUUAUUUUGCUCUCUUUAUAGGUAGAUGCAUUAACGGUAAAGAUGAAGCUUGUCACAUGUGCGUUCCUGAUCUUAGUGUCCUCAAGAGUGUUGUAUUAGGUGAUAAACAAUAUAACUUGGGGGCUAUUGUUGCAUGUAGGCUACAUCUUAAUGGUACGUGUGGAGCUUUGUUUGGUGGGAUUUAUGCAACUCGUGUCGCUAAUUAUCUUGGUGUACCCAUACAUGGAACUGAUAUGGAGUUGCCUCCCGCUUAUCUAGAUUAUGAUGCUAUGGUUCAUCAUCAGUUUCUUGAGAGGAAUGAACAGUUCCUCCAAUACUGACUAAUCUUUGGCAGACGCCGCACUGUCCAUAUUGCUCUCCCUGCUCCUGGAUUCUUUGACUUUCAGGCAAAAGGAGAUAUAUUAUAACCAAGGAGGAGGCGAACAAGUACGAAAGGAGGACGGAGGCAGCCCGCCUCCAAGCUGCAGCUCGUGAGGCAAUGGCUGCUGCAUCUCAGUACGACCCCAGCUACCACUUUGAUCCAUGGGCAUAGACCAACUUAGGCCAAAAGCUUAAGCUUGGGGGAGUACGUAUUUCUCACCGACAUUACAUUCAUGUUCACACACUCAUUCUAGUUGUCGAUGCUCAUGCUUUUUCAAUGUACUAUACAUGCUAGUUUAUUUCCUUUUCUUGCUUUCUUCUUGUGUGUUUGAAUAACCUUAAGAAAAACAAAAAAAUUGUUGUAGCUUUUAGCUAGUUUACUUUCCAUGCCUGUAAUAGUAGUAAUUAAAAGAAAACUCAAAAAGAUUUCUCGUUCUUCUUUUGCUUGUUGGGAGCUUUCCCGUGUAAAUAGUUUUAUUUCUUUUCUUUCCUUUGGGGGUCGAGAGGAGAAGACCAUGAUGAAAAAUGUUGAGUGGCUCUCAUAUGCAUUAUUGUUGAAUUAACCAAGAGCCCAUAUUACCUUGUCUUCUACCUUGAAUUGAAUGCUUGUAGAUUCCAGCUUAGUCCAAUGCACGUGCACUAUUAUUAUUAUCCACACUGUUCGGUCGUGCAAGCGUAAGGCAAUAAUGACGAUAUUUGAUUAAAUGAUCGAGAUGAGAGAACCUGGUAUGAACUCGACCUAUCUUGUUUUUGUAAAUAUGAUUAAUUCAUCGUUCCUGAUUCAGCCUAUUAUGGAUAAACAUGUUUGCAAUGACAAUUAGAGAUUAUAGUUGUUUAUGCCAUGCUUAAUUAGCUAGGAGUUUAUAAAUGGUUUACCUUGCGUGCCAACAUGCUAUUAAAAUGGUUGUGAUGUGGUAUGAUAGGGUGGUAUCCUCCUUUGAAUUAUUCGAGUGACUUGACUUGGAACAUGUUCACGCAUGUAGUUGAAACAAAAUCAACCUAGCCUUCACGAUAUUUAUGUUCAUGGUGGAUUAUAUCCUACUCAUGCUUGCAUUCAAUGUUGAUUAAUUUUAGUGCAUGUUCAUGACUGUUGUCGCUCUCUAGUUGGUCGCUUCCCAGUCUCUUUCUAGCCUUCACUUGUACUAAGCGGGAAUAUUGCUUGUGCAUCCAAAAUCCAUAAACCCCAAAGUUAUUCCAUAUGAGUCCAACAUACCUUCCUAUAUGCGGUAUCUACCUGCCGUUCCAAGUAAAUUGUAUGUGCAAACUCCAAACCUUUAAAUGAAAUUCUGUUUUGUAUGCUCGAACAGCUCAUGUAUCAACUAGGGUUGUCUGUAUCUUCCAUGCUAGGCGGGUUAUUCUCAAGAGGAGUGGACUCCGCUCCUCACUCACGAGAAAAUGGCCGGUAACCGGGAUGCCCAGUCCCAUGCUCAAAUCAAAAAUAAUUGCAAACAAAACUCCCCCAGGAUUGUUGUUAGUUGGAGGCACCCGUUGUUUCGGGCAAGCCAUGGAUCGAAUUUUUUUGGUUGUGGGGGAGUAUAAACUUUACCAUUCUGUUUGGGAACCGCCUAUAAUGUGUGUAUCAUGGAAGAUAUCGAGAUCUCUCAGUUGUUAUGUUGACAAUGAAAGUAUGCCGCUCAAAAUAUUAUUUGUCUCUAUUUCAAAACUCGAGCUCUAGCACCUCUACAAAUCCCUACUUCCCUCUGCGAAGGGCCUAUCUAUUUACUUUAUGUUGAGUCAUCAUCCUCUUAAUUAUGAAAAAGCACCCGCUGGAGAGCACCGCUGUCAUUUGCAUGCAUUACUAUUAAUUUAUAUUGAGUAUGACUAUGACUGGAUCUCUUUUACCAUAAUUACAAUGUUUAGUCAGUACUUGAUUUUCAGAGGUGCUCUGCAUUUAUGUUUUGCGACCUCAGAAAGGGCUAACGAGAUACCAUCUUGUUAUAUCAUAUUAUGAUUGUUUUGAGAAAGUGUUGUCAUCUGAGAUUUAUUAUUAUUGCUCGCUAGCUGAUUAUGCUAUUGAUAUGAGCAAACAUGAGACCUAAGUGUUAUUGUGAAUAUGGUUAGUUCAUAAUCUUUGCUGAAAACUUGAAUGCUGGCUUUACAUAUUUGCAACAACAAGAGCAAACAGAGUUUGUAAAAGUUUUUCUUUAUCACUUUCAGUUUGUUAACUGAAUUGCUUGAGGCUUGUGGGAGAUGAUACGUCUCCAUCGUAUCUACUUUUCCAAACACUUUUGCCCUUGUUUUGGACUCUAACUUGCAUGAUUUGAAUGGAACUAACCCGGACUGACGCUGUUUUCAGCAGAACUGCCAUGGUGUUAUUUUUGUGCAGAAAUAAAAGUUCUCGGAAUGACCUGAAAAUCCAUGGAGCAACUUUUUGGAUUUAAUAAAAAAUAUUGGCAAAAGAAUCAACACCAGGGGGCCCACACCCUGUCCACAAGGGUGGGGGCGCACUCCCCUGCCUCGUGGGCCCCUUGGACCUCCACCGACCUCUACUCCAACUCCAUAUAUUCACGUUCGGGGAGAAAAAACAUCAGAGAGAAGGAUUCAUCGCGUUUUGCAUUACGGAGCCGCCAUCAAGCCCUAAACUCUCUCGGGAGGGCUGAUAUUGAGUCCGUUUGGGGCUCUGGAGAGGGGAAUCUGUCGCCGUCGUCAUCAUCAACCUUCCUCCAUCACCAAUUUCAUGAUGCUCACCGCUGUGCGUGAGUAAUUCCAUCGUAGGCUUGCUGGACGGUGAUGGGUUGGAUGAGAUUUACCAUGUAAUUAAGUUAGUUUUGUUAGGGUUUGAUCCCUAGUAUCCACUAUGUUCUGAGAUUGAUGUUGCUAUGACUUUGCUAUGCUUAAUGCUUGUCACGAGGGCCCGAGUGCCAUGAUUUCAGAUCUGAACCUAUUAUGUUUUCAUGAAUAUAUGUGAGUUCUUGAUCCUAUCUUGCAAGUCUAUAGUCACCUAUUAUGUGUUAUGAUCCGUUAACCCCGAAGUGACAAUAAUCAGGAUACUUACCGGUGAUGACCAUAGUUUGAGGAGUUCAUGUAUUCACUAAGUAUUAAUGCUUUGGUUCGGUAAUCUAUUAAAAGGAGGCCUUAAUAUCCCUUAGUUUCCAAUAGGACCCUGCUGCCACGGGAGGGUAGGACAAAAGAUGGCAUGCAAGUUCUUUUCCAUAAGCACGUAUGACUAUAUUCAGAAUACAUGCCUACAUUAUAUUGAUGAACUGGAGCUAGUUCUGUGUCACCCUAUGUUAUAACUAUUACAUGAGGAAUCGCAUCCGACAUAAUUAUCCAUCACUGAUCCAAUGCCUACGAGCUUUUCACAUAUUGUUCUUUGCUUAGUUACUUUGCCGUUGCCACUGUUAUAAUUACUACAAAACUGCUACUGUUACUUUUUCCACUGUUACCAUUACUUCCAUACUACUUUGCUACUAAAUACUUUGCUGCAGAUAUUAAGUUAUCCAGGUGUGGUUGAAUUGACAACUCAACUGCUAAUACUUGAGAAUAUUCUUUGGCUCCCCUUGUGUCGAAUCAAUAAAUUUGGGUUGAAUACUCUACCCUAAAAAACUGUUGCGAUCCCCUAUACUUGUGGGUUAUCAAGUGUCGGUGUCAAAACUGGCAGAUCUCGGGUAGGGGGGGCCAAGCUAUAUGUCUGAGGAUCGAUGGUAACUAUGAUCAAAAGGACACAAUGUUUACCCAGGUUCGGGCCCUCUUAAUGGAGGUAAAACCCUACUCCUGCUUGAUUAUAUUCAAUGAGUAUAGGGGUUACAAGAGUUGAUCUACCUCGAGAUCGUAAUGGCUAAACCCUAGCUUGACUAGCCUAUCAACGUCGUGAUCCUUCCUUCGAUCUCACCCUCCGGUUUAUAUAGGUACCGGAGGGGCAUUAGGGUUGUACAAAGUCCGUUUAACAGAAAGGAAAUAGUACAUCCAGACACCUAAACUUGCUAUCCAUGUAUACGUGAGUCCCUACCAGACACGAGAAUUGGUCGUCUGCCUUGUAUCUUGACGGCCCGUCAGUCCGGCCCAUAUCCAAUAGACCGGACGCCCGAGGACCCCCUAGUCCAGGACUCCCUCAGUAGCCCCUGAACCAGUCUUCAAUGAAGAAGUGUUCGGCGUGCAAAUUAUCUUCGGCAUUACGAGGUGGGUUCCCUGAACAGUAUACGUCAGUCUUCCUUCAUAAAAGAAUUGUAUUCGGCCUUGCAUAAUUAACACAACCAUUAGCCUUGAAAGCAGGAUAUAUAUAAAAAAUAGGAAUAGUAUCUUUACUGACAACUUUUUCGGCGAAGCGUCGGACUUACCCUUCAGCGUUUUGAACCAUUUUCACAUCCCGCGUUACGUGUUUCGAGGCCAAGCCCCAUUGGCCCGUCUUGUCAAAACAGAGAUCGUGCCCACUUAAUACGGGAUUGCUCAUCAAUAAAAUUUGGGUAAUCCAACCAUUUACGGCACAUGCUUUCAUUGGGAAUAAGCGAGUUUCAAGUCACAAGUGGGGGGACGGUUGGCAUUUUUACCACCUAUAAGAGGGCAAUGGAUUUCUCCUUUCUUCCCCACGCCUUCCAAUCUCCUCAGCCUUGUAAUCUCCCAAGCUCUCAGCACCCGAAAAGUUCUCAUCUUCCUCACCACCACCACCACCACCUCCUCCGACCAUGGCGGGAUCCGGUUCCAAGGGCAAGUGGGAGGCCUCCUCCGUCACGGGGAAGGAGAUAAAGGAUCUCCGGAGUGCGGGUUACCUAUCCGCCACCAUCACGCACAGGCUCCCCCCAAGGGUCUGAUCAUCCCCACUCCGAAGCCCGGCGAAAGGGUCGUCUUCCUCCUCCAUUUCCUUAGAGGGUUAGGUUUUCACACCACCCCUUCGUCUGCGGACUUAUGUUCUACUACGGGCUAGAUUUCCAUGAUCUAGCCCCGAACUCUUUCCUCCACAUCUCGGCGUUUAUCGUCGUGUGUGAGGAUCUUCACCGCAUCCCCCCACACUUCGGCCUGUGGCUGAAAGUCUACAGUGUGAAGCCGAAGGUGGUCGACGGGCAACACGAGGACUGCGGCGGGGCCAUGAUAAGCAAGCUGCCCAACGCCACGUGGCCCAAGGGGGCCUUCGUCGAGACCGUCAAGAUCUGGCAACAAGAGUGGUUUUAUAUCACUGAGACGCGCCGUACCAAGUGGGCGGCGAUUCCAGAGUUCAGAUCCAGGCCCCCCAUGAGGCUCAUCUCUUGGACCGCAAAGGGCCUCGACUAGGGGUCCCAGACGGAGGUGCAAAUGCUGCAGACGCGUAUCACCAACGUGCUGAGCAAAAAUGUUGGUCUAACCAACAUAGUGCAGAUUAUGCUCUUCCGCCGCAUCCUCCCCUACCAGCGCCGGACUUCCCCCGUGUGGCAGUUCAACCCGGAGGAGCCGCGGACUCUGCAGCAUUUCCUCGGCACGACGCACGAGGAAAUGUGGAAGCUACUCUUUGAUACGUCUCCAAUGUAUCUGUAAAUUUUGAUUGUUCCAUGCUAUUAUAUUACCUGUUUUGGAUGUUUAAUGGGCUUUACUAUACACUUUUAUAUCAUUUUGAUGACUAAUCUAUUAACCGGAGGCCCAGCCCAAAUUGUUGUUUUCUUGCCUAUUUCAGUGUUUCGCAGAAAAGGAAUAUCAAACGGAGUCCAAACGGAAUGAAACCGUCGAGAGAGUUAUUUUUGGAACAAACGCAAUCCAGGAGACUUGGAGAGGAUGUCAAGAAACAAACGAGGAAGCCAAGAGGCAGGGAGGCGCGCCCUAGGGGGGUGGGCGCGCCCCCCACCCUCGUGCGCCCCUUGUGGCUCCCCUGACCGACUUCCUUCGCCUAUAUAUCACUACAAGAAAUAUGUCAACUUGUGACCACCCCUAUUGGUCGCUGAAAGGUCAUAGUUUUUCAUUUGCGACCUUUUUAUGACCAAAAACAAAAGGUCAAAAGCUGGCAGUCGUAAACUGAAAUUAGUGACCUUUUUUGCGAUAUGUAAAAGUCCGUUGGUUCCACGACCAAAUUUUUGGUCACAAGCAACCUCCCCAGACCACGUAGGCAUCCAGCAUGGCAAGCUGAUGUGGCACAAGAAUCAGUCCAGUCCGAUUCAGUGUUUUACAUGGGCCGAGCCCAACAAUUCAGCCUAUUUGUGUUUUUUUCUAUCUGUCAAUUUUUGGUUGGGUUCAUGGGCCAAGCCCAAUAUUGCAGCCUUUUUAUUGUUGGGCCGUUGCCUUUUUGUCUCAACAGUUUCAUUUUUUCUUUUUUUAUAAAGUGGGUUCACUAGUCAGGUGGGUCCCCAUUGUCAGGUUCUAGUACUAGGUCCUAGCCGUCAGGGCAAUAUUCUUCAAUUUUUUUAGUUUAACACAAAUAAAUACCUAGUAUUUAAAUUGGCACACAGAACACACGAAAUACUUCAAAUAGUAUCAACCAUCAAAGUGCUACAUCAUAUAACACACAUACAAAUGUGAUCAGCAUCAAGUUUACAACCAGAUAACAAGCUCCACAAGUGUACAAUCACAUGAGCCAGGUUCUGCUACAUCAUACACACAUACGAAUAGGAGCAGCAUAAAGGGCUUCAUUAAUGCAAAACUUGACAGUUGACAGCAAUGUUAGAACUAUGCUUCCUCCGACUUCUUUGUCCUGAUGCUCACGAAGAAACAUGAAAGCCCAGCAUCUGCACGUUACAGAACAAAAUGUUUAGGAACAAAAUAGAAGUAAAUCUAAUAGCAUACUUAACAAUAAAUAACAGAAUAAUGUAAUAAAUUGGUACAGAGCAUAGGCCAGGUCAACAAUAAAUUGGUACUAAAUCCAGUAAUAACCAUCUGAAAUGAACUUAAUAAGACAUUUUAGAAUCAACUUGACAGUUGAUAGUAAUGUUUGCAUUGGACACAUCCAGAACUAAAAUUAUACAUAAAUACCUAAAUUCCAAUGCCCAAUGCCUCAGUAAAAUAAACACUAAGCAUGGUACAUAGUAAAGAUUUGACACAACCAGAACUGAAAUCAUUUACUCUAUCAAGCAUAUCUACAAUGAUGCGACACACCAGAAAAGAGAGAUGCACAGUGGAGUAGCAUCAUAUAUCACACAACAUGGACACUCUUUGAACAAGCAUAGUGUUUAGGUCUAAAACCACAGUCAAUUUCAGAAGCAUGUCGAAUAACUAAACAUACAUACAUGUGUAUAUAGAAGUAGCAAAAGCAAAUAAUAAAUAUAUCAUCUUUCUUCCUCUACUACACUAACUAACCUAUCUUAUUGUUCAGCUAGAGGUUCCAUCAGGCCAUGAUCAACUACUCCAAACCAUUGCAUGCUUUGCAAAAAAAAUACUAGAUGAAUCUCACUAACAUGAGCACUAGGUGAUUAAUGGAAGAAGUAAUCUGCAGAUUACAAAGUGAACAAGUGAAGGAUUUAUAUAUCUCCCUGUGGAACAACUAAGUUGAUGAAGACAUGCAGCAGCAACAGCAGAAGCCUUGCAUCAUUGGUUUGGUCGGGUCGACGCUGGAAAGAGCGCCGCUGUACAUGAUCGGCACCCGAGCGGCUCAACCUCUCUAUCCCCUGCCUCAACUUACCCGUGCGGUUGCUGCAGUUUGAUACAAGUGUGUAAAUACAACAUACUUUGCAUCAUAUAUCUAGACUAUAACAUCUUAUUCUCACCAGCAGAGCAUGAAAGUUCCAUCGGGUUGCAUCAAAAUCACUACUGAAAAUAAAAAGAUGGCAUGUAAUAAUAGUAACAGGCUGCUGUAGUAAUAUAUAUUCAUGGUAGGUCAAUGGCAGAGCAUGAAAGUUCCAUCAGGUUGCAUGUAUAUCAGAGAACUAUUACUACAUGCAAAGGUUCAAUGGAUCCAAAUAAACAUGCACAUCAGGAAACUAGAGGAACAGACAGUCAACACGUAUAUAUCUAGUCAAUAAAAUAUGCAUGCAAAGUUGUACUCAUGUAGGCAUGCCUUCACAUCAGAAUUUAGAAACAUCAGAGUCUCGCUGCAUCUCAAAAUCAAGCCGAUCUAACAUGUAGGCACUGAUUAACAGAUCCAAUAAUACUAAUGCAAUUGUAAUCAUACAACAGAACACAGUAGAGGAGGCUCGAUCGUUCAACAUUUCCAGUGCAAGCAUUGUACAAAGAAAACCAAAUUGAAACCCAGUAAGACACUAUUACAGUACAGUAUGACGGCGUCUAUUGCCCAUCUGGAAAACAAGGUGACAUACUACAGGUUCAAAAUUUUCCUACCAAUCAUGAUAUGUUUGUACAAUGGUUGGUGUAUGAGGAGCUCGACACUGUAUGAUGUAUAACAGAUGUUGUAUAAUAGAGAAGAACGGCAAAAAACAUUUGGUGGCAUUGAGCUAUUGACAUAAGUAUGCAAAAAAGCUACUCAGUUGCUAGCAAGAUGAAUCAACGAGAACUGUGAAGGUAGGAGUCUAGAAAGGUAUUCCCUGUUGGAAAUCGACUACGAUAGCAGUUAAGCUAUGCAUCAUUCUUGGUGGUGGAUCUCAUCCCUGUCAUUUUUAGCAAUCACUGCACGUGGAAGAAGUAAAGCAUGUCAGUGUAUUGAUUUUCAAACACACAAAAAUGAAGGAGAAAAAGGCAGCCAAAAUAUAACUGCAGGGCCCUCUUAACAAAUAAUGUUUGUGCUCAAUCUGUUAGUACAAACACUAUUAUAUCCGCCACAUGCACAGGCCAAUUUAUAUGCCUAUUCAUAUGCCUAAAAACUAAGAUUUUCUAGCAAGAAAGAUGGCAGCACAGUUGACCUUGAAGGCAGUAAGAAAUUUCAUCAUCUUAUCAUUGGUCUGAGAAUUAAUAGGGAGCAACUAGAGUAAAAUUUGGGCUUGUGGUAGAAGAAUAGAAAAAUUGAUACUGGGCCUUCGGAUCAAACAUGGUUGGUACAGAUUCAUGUGAGGGAUCCCAGGCCACUUAUUGUACAUUUCAUGAAAAAAUAUCUAGUAUAAUUAGAUAUAAAACAAGAGCUUUUAAAGUAACCACAUCAAAGUUUACUCAGUUUGGAUACAAAUAGCAAACUGAUUCAUAAAAGCAUUACCCCACAACCUUCAUUGUCCCACAUAUAUUGUCCCCACGGUUUACUCACGUUGUCCUCCACUCACUGUACAUAUAUUACCCCACAAAAGCUGUACAGUAAAACAUCAAAGUUUACUCAUGUUUUCCCCACGGUUCAAUGGAAUGCAUUGUAUCUAAUCAGGACAUCCAAUCAGUGGUUUCAUCAUCACAGAGAACCCACAAACAUGUACAGGAAGGGAGUAGAUACCUUUGUCUCCUUGGAGCUCCUUGUGCAGGUCAUGCCCUCCAUCUACUUGCUCGACAGUAAUACUCUAGAUGCAUCCUGGAUAGAGGUCGAUGUGUGGAGUAAUAGUAGUAGAUGCAGAAUCGUUUUGAUCUACUUGUCGCGGACGUGAUGCCUAUAUGCAUGAUCAUGCCUAGAUAUUCUCAUAACUAUGCACUUUUCUAUCAAUUGCUCGACAGUAAUUUGUUCACCCACUGUAAUACUUACUCUAUCUUGAGAGAAGCCACUAGUGAAACCUAUGGCCCCCGGGUCUAGUUUCCAUCAUAUAAGUUUCUAUCUACUUUAUUUUGUGAUCUUUACUUUCCAAUCUAUAUCAUAAAAAUUCCAAAAAUAUUUAUCUUAUUCUUAUCUCUAUCAGAUCUCACUUUUGCAAGUGGCCGUGAAGGGAUUGACAACCCCUUUAUCGCGUUGGUUGCGUGGUUCUUAUUUGUUUUUGUAGGUACGAGGGACUUGCGUGUAGCCUCCUACUGGAUUGAUACCUUGGUUCUCAAAAACUAAGGAAAAUACUUACGCUACUUUGCUGCAUCACCCUUUCCUCUUCAGGGGAAAACCAACGCAGUGCUCAAGAGGUAGCACUCUUCAAGGUGCAGAAGAGCUGGCCCAUGGAGACCGAAGACGUCAACCUCGAUGCCGAGAAUCCGGCCACUCCGAUAAGUGUCAAUUUCCCGAAGACAUGUCCGGCCUAUAUAUAUUCGAUCGAUACAAAUCUUAUCAGCCUACUUUUUUUACAGGGCCGGACAAAGAAGGCGGAGCGGAUCAAGAGUCUGGCUCCGUUGCCGGAAGACCCAGUCACCCCUCAGCUGGAGGAGAUGCUGGUCCCGAUGCCCUAUCAGACGCUAGAGAAGAAGACCAAGAAGAAGGGCAAGGGGCCCAAGGACGGGCCCUGCCGCAAAGGUCCUUCGGACGCAGUGUCCGGAGAGACCGAGGCCGUCUCCUCUCACGAGGGAGACGAGGACGAAGAGGAGGAGGAAGAGGAGGUUGAGAGCGACUCCCCUCGCAUCACAAGGAGGAAGAAGAGGACGACCUCCGAGAAUCCGGAGGAGGCGACGCCGAAGAGGAAGAAAGUUACCCUCUCGGUGAGUUUGGACUCGGAGUCCGAACACAGCCCAAGGAGAGCUCCCACGAUCAAGCCCCUGGCCGAUUCAUAAGUAUCAAAACCUUAAUUGUCAAGUUUCUCGCUUACCCGCCUCUGCAUAAACUGUAUCUUCGCUCAUAUUUCAGCCCUCCGUGCGAUAUCCCGCACCGGUACCCCUCGACUUCGUCAGGGAAUUCUCUGCCGCUUGAAGAGGCGGAGAGCGACGGACCAUCGCGAGCCUUCUCCCCCCUGCCAUGGAGGACACCGAGGUGUCGUCCCAAAGGACCUCUCCUAGCCGAGGAGGGGCGGACGAGGCCGUCCAGAAGGCACCCUAGGGUAACACCUCGGAUGCCAUAGAGCCGGGCACGGCGACCCCCAUGAUCAUCGGAGGUGGGGGGCCUCAACAGUGUGGGCCCUUGCUGAACACCAUCCCGAGACCAAUGCGGCUCCGAACUCGGUCCAACACCCCCCUUCAACAGAGGGCGGAGGAGUAGCAGCUCCAUCGGCGGCCUCUGUUAAACUGGAGGCCACUAAUACUCUGGAGGAAGCGGUGCAACGUGCUUCCAUCAUGGAGGAGCACCGCACCCUGAUGGAUGUUGUUAUGGAAAAGGUUCGGUCCGCGAAGGCGGUCUGGCCGAAGCCUUCAAUAGCCUACUGACGGGCUUUGAGGUAUGCGACGUAAUUCUCUUACAAAUUAUUUUAUAUGCAAGGUUGAACCCCAUGCAUAGACAGUAGCCCCUGAGACUCUGUCCGACAGAGGAUCAAAAACAAGUUGAUAAUGUAUCAUACUAUCUUGUUGUACAUGCAUCUAUGAUGGCGGUUACUGCCCAAGCUGCAGAGGUUUCCGAGCUCAAUCGGAAGCUUCAGCUAGUCGAUGAGGAACUCGACCGCGUCAAUAAGCGGUUUAACGAAACCCAAGGUAUGUGGCACUAUUACAUACCCGAAGUGAUAUGUGUGCUAAUUCUUUAAAUUUACUGAGUGUUAUAACUAUACUCACAGUUGGCGCAGCCGAGAUCGAGUCCCUCAAGAGCGCCCUCGGCCAAGCCAAGAGGAGGCGGAGGUGAGCAAGCCGGCCGCUGACAAAGCGGCCAAGAAGUUGGAGGUGGAGCGAACCGCCCGUGAACAACACGGGGCGCGGGUGGGCAAGGUCGAACAGGAGCUCAAGGACGCUAUUGCCAAGUGCGAGUCCUUAGAGCAGAACAGUUCAGAACAAGCCUCCGAGCUCACAAAAGAUCUUGAGAGCAUGAAAGAAGCUCGGGUUGAAUCCCAGGGAGCUCGCCAGGAGAUACAGGAGGCGAGACAGAUAGCGGUUGGUAAGGCCUUUCUGUUGGGGAACGUAGCAGAAAUUCAAAAUUUUCCUAUGUGUCACCAAGAUCUAUCUAUGGAGAAACCAGCAACGAGGGGAAGGAGAGUGCAUCUACAUACCCUUGUAGAUUGCUAAGCGGAAGCGUUCAAAAGAACGGGGUUGAAGGAGUCGUACUCGUCGUGAUCCAAAUCACCGGAGAUCCUAGUGCCGAACGGAUGGCACCUCCGCGUUCAACACACGUACAGCCCGGUGACGUCUCCCACGCCUUGAUCCAGCAAGGAGAGAGGGAGAGGUUGAGGAAGACUCCGUCCAGCAGCAGCACAACGGCGUGGUGAUGGUGGAGGAGAGUGGCAAUCCUGCAGGGCUUCGCCAAGCACCGCGGGAGAGGAGAAGGGAGAGAGGUAGGGCUGCGCCAAGAGGGAGAGGUUCUCGUGUCUUGGGCAGCCCCAAAACCCCCACUAUUUAUAGGAGGAGGGGAGGUGGCUGCGCCCCCAUCUAGGGUUCCCACCCAAGGGGUGCGGCAGCCCUAGAUGGGACUUGGGGGCGGCCAAGAGGGGGAGAGAGGGGGCGCCCCCUAGGGUGGGCCUUUAGGCCCAUCUGCGCCUUGGGUUUCCCCUCUCCCCACCUAGCUGCGCCUUGGGCCAUGUGGGGGGGGCGCACCAGCCCACCUGGGGCUGGUCCCCUCCCACACUUAGCCCAUGCAGCCCUCCGAGGAUGGUGGCCCCACUUGGUGGACCCCCGGGACCCUCCCGGUGGUCCCGGUACGUUACCGAAAAAACCCGAAACUUUUCCGGUGACCAAAACAGGACUUCCCAUAUAUAAAUCUUUACCUCCGGACCAUUCCGGAACUCCUCGUGACGUCCAGGAUCUCAUCCGGGACUCCGAACAACAUUCGGUAACCACAUACAAACUUCCUUUAUAACCCUAGCGUCAUCGAACCUUAAGUGUGUAGACCCUACGGGUUCGGGAGACAUGUAGACAUGACCGAGACAUUCUCCAGUCAAUAACCAACAGCGGGAUCUGGAUACCCAUGUUGGCUCCCACAUGUUCCAUGAUGAUCUCAUCGGAUGAACCAUGAUGUCAAGGACUCAAUCGAUCCCGUAUACAAUUCCCUUUGUCUAGCGGUAUUGUACUUGCCCGAGAUUCGAUCGUAGGUAUCCCGAUACCUUGUUCAAUCUCAUUACCGGCAAGUCUCUUUACUUGUUCCGUAACACAUCAUCCCGUGAUCAACCCCUUGGUCACAUUGUGCACAUUAUGAUGAUGUCCUACCGAGUGGGCCCAGAGAUACCUCUCCGUUUACACAGAGUGACAAAUCCCAGUAUCGAUUCGUGCCAACCCAACAGACACUUUCGGAGAUACCUGUAAUGCACCUUUAUAGCCACCCAGUUACUUGUGACGUUUGGUACACCCAAAGCAUUCCUACGGUAUCCGGGAGUUGCACAAUCUCAUGGUCUAAGGAAAUGAUACUUGACAUUAGAAAAGCUUUAGCAUACGAACUAUGAUCUUUGUGCUAGGCUUAGGAUUGGGUCUUGUCCAUCACAUCAUUCUCCUAAUGAUGUGAUCCCGUUAUCAACGACAUCCAAUGUCCAUGGUUAGGAAACUGUAACCAUCUAUUGAUCAACGAGCUAGUCAACUAGAGGCUUACUAGGGACAUGGUGUUGUCUAUGUACCCACACAUGUAUCUGAGUUUCCUAUCAAUACAAUUAUAGCAUGGAUAAUAAACGAUUAUCAUGAACAAGGAAAUAUAAUAAUAACUAAUUUAUUAUUGACUCUAGGGCAUAUUUCCAACAGUCUCCCACUUGCACUAGAGUCAAUAAUCUAGUUCACAUCGUCAUGUGAUUAACGAUCAUAGGUCACAUCGCCAUGUGACCAACAUCCAAAGAGUUUACUAGUGUCUGUAAACUAGUUCACAUCAUCAUGUGAUUAAGACUCAAUGAGUUCUCAGGUUUGAUCAUGUUUUUGCUUGUGAGAGAGGUUUUUAGUCAUCGGGUCUGAACCUUUCAGAUCCGCGCGUGCUUUGCAAAUUUCUAGGUCAUAUUGUAAACGCUGCUUCCACGCUCCACUAGGAUCUAUUCCAAAUGGUUGCUCCACUAUACGUAUCCGGUUUGCUACUCAGAGUCACUCGGAUAGGUGUUAAAGCUUGCAUCGACGUAACCCCUUACACCGAACUCUUUAUUACCUCCAUAAUCGAGAAACAUGUCCUUAUUUACUCCAAGGACAAUUAUUGACCACUGUCCAAUGAUCCAUUCCUGGAUCAUUCUUGUACCCCUUGAGUGACUCAUGGCAAGGCACACUUCCGGUGCGGUACACAGCAUGGCAUACUAUAGAGCCUAUGUCUGAAGCAUAGGGGACGACCUUCAUCCUUUCUCUCUUUUCUGCCAUGGUCGAGCUUUAACUCUUAACUUCAUACCUUACAUCUCAGGCAAGAACUCCUUCUUCGACUGAUCCAUCUUGAACACCUUCAAGAUCAUGUCAAGGUAUGUGCUCAUUUGAAAGUAUUAUUAAGCAUUUUGAUCUAUCCUUAUAGAUCUUGAUGCUCAAUGUUCAAGUAGCUUAAUCCAGGUUUUCUAUUGAAAAACACCUUUCAAAUGACCAUGUAUGCUUUCCAGAAAUUCUACAUCAUUUCUGAUCAACAAUAUGUCAACAACAUAUACUUAUUAGAAAUUCUAUAGCGCUCCCACUCACUUCUUUGGAAAUACAAGUUUCUCAUAAACUUUAUAUAAACCCAAAAACUUUGAUCAUCUCAUCAAAGCAUACAUUCCAACUCCGAGAUGCUUACUCCAGUCCUUAGAAGGAUCGCUGGAGCCAGCAUACCUUUUAGCAUCCUUAGGAUCGACAAAAACUUUCUGAUUGUAUCACAUACAACCUUUCCUUACGAAGACUGGUAAGGAAACUCGUUUUGACAUCCAUCUGCCAGAUUUCAUAAAUGCAGCUAAUGCUAACAUGAUUCCAAUGGACUUAAGCAUCACUACGGGUGAGAAAAUCUCACCGUAGUCAACUCCUUGAACUUGUGAAAAACUCUUCGCCACAAGUCGAGCUUCAUAGACGGUAACAUUACCGUCCACGUCCGUCUUUUUCUUAAAGAUCCAUUUUUCUCAAUGGCUUGCCUAUCACGGAUUUUAUGGCCUCGAGCCAUUCGUCAGAAUCCGGACCCACCAUCGCUUCUCCAUAGCUCGUAGGAUCAUUGUUGUCUAGCAACAUGACCUUCAAGACAUGAUUACUGUACCACUCUGAAGUAGUAUGCAUCCUUGUCACCCUACGAGGUACGGUAGUGACUUGAUCCGAAACUUCAUGAUUACUAUCAUAAGCUUCUACUUCAAUUGGUGUAGGCGCCACAGGAACAACUUCCUGUGCCCUGCUGCACACUAGUUGAAGUGACGGUUCAUUAACCUCAUCAAGUCUCCACCAUCCUCCCACUCAAUUCUUUCGAGAGAAACUUUUCCUCGAGAAAGGACCUGUUUCUAGAAACAAUUACUUUUGCUUCCGGAUCUGAGACAGGAGGUAUACCCAACUAUUUUGGGUGUCAUAUGAAGAUGCAUUUUAGCCGCUUUGGGUUCGAGCUUAUCAACCUGAAACUUUUCACAUAAGCGUCGCAGCCCCAAACUCUUAAGAAACGACAACUUAGGUUUCUCCAAACCAUAGUUCAAUCAGUGUCGUCUCAACGGAAUUACGUGGUGCCCUAUUAAAGUGAGUGUGGUUGUCUCUAAUGCCUAACCCAUGAAUGAUAGUGGUAAUUCGAUAAGAGACAUCAUGGUGCACACCAUAUCUAAUAGGGUGCAACUAUGAUGUUCGGACACACCAUCACACUAUGGUGUUCUAGGCGGUAUUAAUUGUGAAACUAUUUCCUCAAUGUCUCAAUUGUGUACCAAACUCGCAACUCGGAUAUUCAUCUCUAUGAUCAUAUCAUAGACAUUUUAUCCUCUUGUCACGGCGAUCUUCAACUUCACUCUUGAAAUUACUUGAACCAUUCAAUAAUUCAGACUUGUGUUUCAUCAAGUAAAUAUACUCAGUAUCUACUCAAAUCAUCUGUGAAGUAAGAACAUAACGAUAUCCACUGCGUGCCUCAGCACUCAUUGGACUGCACACAUCAAAAUGUAUUACUUCCAACAAGUUGCUUUCUCGUUCCAUUUUACUGAAAAUGAGGCUUUCAGUCAUCUUGCCCGUCUGGUGUGAUUUGCACGUCUCAAGUGAUUCAAAAAUCAAGUGAGUCCGAACGGUCCAUUUGCAUGGAGUUUCUUCAUGCAUAUACACCAAUAGACAUGGUUCGCAUGUCUCAAACUUUUCAAAAUGAGUGAGUCCAAAGAUCCAUCAACAUGGAGCUUCUUCAUGCGCUUUAUACCAAUAUGACUUACAUGGCAGUGCCACAAGUAAGUGGUACUAUCAUUACUAUCUUAUACCUUUUGGCAUGAAAAUAUGUAUCACUACGAUCGAGAUUCAAUAAACCAUUCCUUUAGGUGCAAGACCAUUAAAAGUAUUAUUCAAAUAAAUAGAGUAACCAUUAUUCUCCUUAAAUGAAUAACCGUAUUGCGAUAGACAUAAUCCAAUCAUGUCUAUGCUCAACGCAAACACCAAAUAACAAUUAUUUAGGUCUAACACCAAUCUCGAUGGUAGAGGGAGAAUGCGAUGCUUGAUCACAUCAAGCUUGGAAACACUUCCAACACAUAUCGUCAUCUCCCCUUUAGCUAGUCUCCGUUCAUUCCGUAGCUUUUAUUUCGAGUUACUAACACUUAGCAACCGAACCGGUAUCUAAUACCUGGUGCUACUAGGAGUACUAGUAAAGUACACAUUAACAUAAUGUAUAUCCAAUAUACUUCUUUCGACCUUGCCAGCCAUCUCAUCUACCAAGUAUCUAGGGUAAUUCCGCUCUAGUGACUGUUCCCCUUAUCACAGAAGCACUUAGUCUUGGGUUUGGGUUCAACCUUGGGUUUCUUCACUAGAGCAGCAGCUGAUUUGCUGUUUCAUGAAGUAUCCCUUCUUGCCCUUGCCCUUUUCGAAACUAGUGGUUUUACCAACCAUCAACAAUUGAUGCUCCUUCUUGAUUUCUACUUUCGUGGUGUCAAACAUCGCGAAUAUCUCAAGGAUCAUCAUAUCUAUCCCUGAUAUGUUAUAGCUCAUCACGAAGCUCUAGCAGCUUGGUGGCAAUGACUUUGGAGAAACAUCACUAUCUCAUCUGGAAGAUCAACUCCCACUCGAUUCAAGUGAUUGUUGCACUCAGACAAUCUGAGCACAAGCUUAACGAUUGAGCUUUUCUCCCUUAGUUUGUAGGCUAAGAAAAUCGUCGGAGGUCUUAUACCUCUUGACGUGGGCACAAGCCUGAAAUCCCAAUUUCAGCCCUCGAAACAUCUCAUAUGUUCCGCGACGUUUCGAAAAACGUCUUUGGUGCCUCAACUCUAAACCGUUUAACUAAACUAUCACGUAGUUAUCAAAACGUGUAUGUCCGAUGUUUGCAACAUCCACAAACGACGUUUGGGGUUCAGCACACUGAGUGUUGCAUUAAGGACACAAGCUUUCUACUGUCCGCAUAAUCGCUACUUUCAACUUUCAACUAUUUUUUUCUCUAGGAACAUAUCUAAACAGUGGAACUAAAGCGCGAGCUUACGACAUAAUUUGCAAAGAUCUUUUGACUAUGUUCAGGAUAAUUAAGUUCAUCUUAUGAACUCGCACUCAGAUAGACAUCCCUCUAGUCAUCUAAGUGAUUACAUGAUCCGAGUCAACUAGGCCGUGUCCGAUCAUCACGUGAGACGGACUAGUCAUCAUCGGUGAACAUCUUCAUGUUGAUCGUAUCUACUAUACGACUCAUGCUCGACCUUUCGGUCUCUGUGUUCCGAGGCCAUGUCUGUACAUGCUAGGCUCGUCAAGUUAACCCUAAGUGUUUCGCGUGUGUAAAUCUGUCUUACACCCAUUGUAUGUGAACGUAAGAAUCCAUCACACCCGAUCAUCACCUGGUGCUUAGAAGCGACGAACUUUAGCAACGGUGCACAGUUAGGGGAGAACACUUCUUGAAAUUGUUGUAAGGGAUCAUCUUAUUUACUACCGUCGUUCUAAGUAAACAAGAUGCAUAAACAUAAUAAACAUCACAUGCAAUUAUAUAGUAGUGACAUGAUAUGGCCAAUAUCAUAUAGCUCCAUUGAUCUCCAUCUUCGGGGCUCCAUGAUCAUCAUCAUCACCGGCAUGACACCAUGAUCUCCAUCAUCAUGUCUUCAUGAAGUUGUCUCGCCAACUAUUACUUCUAUUACUAUGGCUACCGGUUAGCAAUAAAGUAAAGUAAUUACAUGGCAUUGUUUAAUGACACGCAGGUCAUACAAUAAAUAAAGACAACUCCUAUGGCUCCUGCCGGUUGUCAUACUCAUCGACAUGCAAGUCGUGAAUCCUAUUACAAGAACAUGAUCAAUCUCAUACAUCACAUAUCAUUCAUCACAUUCUUCUUGGCCAUAUCACAUCACAUAGCAUACCCUGCAAAAACAAGUUAGACGUCCUCUAAUUGUUGUUUGCAUGUUUUACGUGGCUGCUAUGGGUUUCUAGCAAGAACGUUUCUUACCUACGCAAAACCACAACAUGAUAUGCCAAUUGCUAUUUACCCUUCAUAAGGACCCUUUUCAUCGAAUCCGUUCCGACUAAAGUGGGAGAGACUGGCACCCGCUAGCCACCUUAUGCACCAAGUGCAUGUCAGUCGGUGGAACCUGUCUCACGUAAGAGUACGUGUAAGGUCGGUCCGGGCCGCUUCAUCCCACAAUACCGUCGAAACAAGAUUGGACUAGUAACAGUAAGCAUAUUGAACAACAUCAACGCCCACAACUACUUUGUGUUCUACUCGUGCAAAGAAUCUACGCAAUAGACCUAGCUCAUGAUGCCACUGUUGGGGAACGUAGCAGAAAUUCAAAAUUUUCCUACGUGUCACCAAGAUCUAUCUAUGGAGAAACCAGCAACGAGGGGAAGGAGAGUGCAUCUACAUACCCUUGUAGAUCGCUAAGCGGAAGCGUUCAAGAGAACAGGGUUGAAGGAGUCGUACUCGUCGUGAUCCAAAUCACCGGAGAUCCUAGUGCCGAACGGACGGUACCUCCGCGUUCAACACACGUACAACCCGGUGACGUCUCCCACGCCUUGAUCCAGCGAGGAGAGAGGGAGAGGUUGAGGAAGACUCCGUCCAGCAGCAGCACAACGGUGUGGUGAUGGUGGAGGAGAGUGGCAAUCCUGCAGGGCUUCGCCAAGCACCGCGGGAGAGGAGAAGGGAGAGAGGUAGGGCUGCGCCAAGAGGGAGAGGUUCUCGUGUCUUGGGCAGCCCCAAAACCCCCACUAUUUAUAGGAGGAGGGGAGGUGGCUGCGCCCCCAUCUAGGGUUCCCACCCAAGGGGUGCGGCAGCCCUAGAUGGGACUUGGGGGGCGGCCAAGAGGGGGAGAGAGGGGGCGCCCCCUAGGGUGGGCCUUUAGGCCCAUCUGCGCCUAGGGUUUCCCCUCUCCCCACCUAGCUGCGCCUUGGGCCAUGUGGGGGGGCGCACCAGCCCACCUGGGGCUGGUCCCCUCCCACACUUAGCCCAUGCAGCCCUCCGGGGAUGGUGGCCCCACUUGGUGGACCCCCGGGACCCUCCCGGUGGUCCCGGUACGUUACCGAAAAAACCCGAAACUUUUCCGGUGACCAAAACAGGACUUCCCAUAUAUAAAUAUUUACCUCCGGACCAUUCUGGAACUCCUCGUGACGUCCGAGAUCUCAUCCGGGACUCCGAACAACAUUCGGUAACCACAUACAAACUUCCUUUAUAACCCUAGCGUCAUUGAACCUUAAGUGUGUAGACCCUACGGGUUCGGGAGACAUGUAGACAUGACCAAGACGUUCUCCGGUCAAUAACCAACAGCGGGAUCUGGAUACCAAUGUUGGCUCCCACAUGUUCCACGAUGAUCUCAUCGGAUGAACCAUGAUGUCAAGGACUCAAUCGAUCCCGUAUACAAUUCCCUUUGUCUAGCGGUAUUGUACUUGCCCGAGAUUUGAUCGUAGGUAUCCCGAUACCUUGUUCAAUCUCGUUACCGGCAAGUCUCUUUACUCGUUCCGUAACACAUCAUCCCGUGAUCAACCCCUUGGUCACAUUGUGCACAUUAUGAUGAUGUCCUACCGAGUGGGCCCAGAGAUACCUCUCCGUUUACACGGAGUGACAAAUCCCAGUCUCGAUUCGUGCCAACCCAACAGACACUUUUGGAGAUACCUGUAAUGCACCUUUAUAGCCACCCAGUUACGUUGUGACGUUUGGUACACCCAAAGCAUUCCUACGGUAUCCGGGAGUUGCACAAUCUCAUGGUCUAAGGAAAUGAUACUUGACAUUAGAAAAGCCUUAGCAUACGAACUACGAUCUUUGUGCUAGGCUUAGGAUUGGGUCUUGUCCAUCACAUCAUUCUCCUAAUGAUGUGAUCCCGUUAUCAACGACAUCCAAUGUCCAUGGUCAGGAAACUGUAACCAUCUAUUGAUCAACGAGCUAGUCAACUAGAGGCUUACUAGGGACAUGGUGUUGUCUAUGUACCCACACAUGUAUCUGAGUUUCCUAUCAAUACAAUUAUAGCAUGGAUAAGAAACGAUUAUCAUGAACAAGGAAAUAUAAUAAUAACAAAUUUAUUAUUGCCUCGAGGGCAUAUUUCCAACACUUUCUUAUGCAGAGUAAAUUUACAAGUAAGAGAUAUAUCUUGCUGACAUGAGUUUGGAGUUCUCCAAGCGCAUUUGCGGAUCUUCGGAGGAGUAUUGCUGAUGCCGUCGAGUUCUUCCGCGCCGAAGAGGGGAGCUCAACAUAGAAGCUAUUCUGGUCGCAGUACCUUGCACCAGAGUAUCCGGCGCCCCUCAGCGAUCAGCUGAAGCAGCUGACGGAGCUGCACAGAGUGGCCGGACUAGCCAUGAAGGACGUAAUAGUCCGUCUUUGGCCAGCCGAGCCCAUACCCAACAGCUACUUCGGACUUGUGAAGCAGCUGGUUGACGUGGAUCCUCGGAUCGAUGCCAUCAAGCGGUAGACCUGCAUAGAAGGUGCCUGGAUGGCCUUCGCCCGAGUCAAGGUACAAUGGGCGAAGAUGAAGGCCACCGAAAUUGCCACCGCGGGGCCGCCUGAAGGCAAGGAUCACCGGCGGCGGGAGAAAUACUUCGGCUAGGUCCUCGAGGGAUCCCGCAUUGAAGAGGGUCAAUGCUCAAAGGAUAUCAUAUUUGAGUAGUGGAGUCCGGCUUGUAAAAACCGUGUAAUGAACUCAUAGUGUGAAAUAUUUAUGCUUGCACUUUAUGAUAUUGUUAGUUUAUCCUCCUGCUUGGCCGUUUCUUUUUUUAAGUUUGAAAGUUUACUAGUCGUCGGCUUCUGCCCCCAUGUAAAUCAUACUGGGGUGUUCGGUAAUGCAUGUUCGCACUUUAUCCAACGUCUUGGUCCUAUAUAGGAGGCGUCUUGCGAGAUGAACAAUGCAAUCAAACUAUGCGGCUUUAUCACUUUCACUUAGCCAUAAGAGUACAUAGGUGGAGCUAGGUACUAGCCCCUUGUUGCGUAAACGGUGAUCCGGAGUACGGCGCCUUUGCAACGCGGCUGGUCAAAGCCCAGCCCCUCGUAUAACAUGCAUAAAUCGCGAACGGUUUUUAGUAUAACACUAAGUCACCGGAUUGCUGACCCGCUCUCGCAUAUCAUAAAAGUUAGUUUUUGGCUUUCUCUACUGAGGUACUUAACCGGACGAACCAGAAAUACAAUCACAGUAGUUCUCCCUUUACUACCUUAGCGGAACUUGCGGAACGUAAGGUGGCAAACACAGGAGCCGGGCAACCCAACUAUAGACCAACGACAUGAUCCGGAGCCGAUGCAUAUAAUGCAAUAUCCAGGACGCCGAAGAGUUCCCCAUAGGUGUUCAGACUUAAGAGUUUGCGGGGCCGAAUACAGCCCCUGGUAUGAAGGCCGUGCCGAAACAUGUACCUCAGUCGAAAGCAAGGAGGGAAUAUGGAUGACAAGAUAAUAUAAGAGCCCAAUCAAAAAAGAUGGUGAUCGUCUGCUUAAUUUAUAUCCUUAUCAAUAUGUCGAGGCGUGUUUCGAUAGACAAUGCCAUGAAUAUCAAGGUCAUGUUACAUGCCUAAAGAAAAAAAAUACAUAAGGGAAAGUCUAACACAGGGCCUAAAAAUAAUAGUUCAAAAACUCCAGCGAUGCCCUGUCGCGUGUCUGCGCUAUUUCUCCUUAGUAAUAAGUCCUUUGGUAGGAGUAUUUGAUGGUUGGGAAACACUAGCCUUGAAAGGAUCCCCGAUACAACCAUACAGCAAAUAGGGCUCUUAAUGAACCUGUAGUGAAAAAAGAUGUAUGCAGUCCAAAUAGGGUCAAGCCAUACUAUGGACUUGUUCCGCAGUGUGCCCCCGGCGCUUCCCAAGGUAUUUUGAGUGCAUAGUUAUGUACGCGCGGUACGUAAAGCCGCAACCUUAUGGGGCAGUCGGUAGAGGCUGAACUGCUAAUCGAGGUCUGGAUCCGUCAAGUUAUCACAGCGGGGCGCGAACCGAACUAUUUUAGAGAUGUUGUUGGCUUUAAUGUCCGAUGAAUUGCUCGACUUGAUAAGGCCGAUAUACACCUCGGCUGCAAGAGCCGCGAUGUGUUCUUCAGUAGGGAGGGAGCGCUCCAUAUUUCCAUUGACUGUAAUAACUCCGUGAGGUCCGGGCAUCUUAAGCUUCAAAUAAGCAUAGUGCGGGACUACAUUAAAGCGGGCGAAAGCAGUUCGUCCGAGCAGUGCGUGAUAGCCACUGCGGAAAGAGACGAUGUCGACGAUUAAUUCUUCAUUGCGAAAGUUAUCUAGGGAGCUGAAUACUACUAAAGGAAAUAUGCCCUAGAGGCAAUAAUAAAGUUAUUAUUUAUUUCCUUAAUUCAUGAUGAAUGUUUAUUAUUCAUGCUAAAAUUGUAUUAACCGAGAACUUAGUACAUGUGUGAAUACAUAGACUAAACAUAUAGUCCCUAGUAUGCCACUACUUGACUAGCUCGUUUAUCAAAGAUGGUUAUGUUUCCUAACCAUAGACAUGUGUUGUCAUUUGAUGAACAGGAUCACAUCAUUAGGAGAAUGAUGUGAUGGACAUGACCCAUCCGUUAGCUUAGCAUUAUGAUCGUGUUAGUUUCAUUGCUACUGCUUUCUUCAUGACUUAUACAAGUUCCUCAGACAAUGAGAUUAUGCAACUCCUGAAUACCGGAGGAACACUUUGUGUGCUACCAAACGUCACAAUGUAAAAGGGUGAUUAUAAAGGUGCUCUACAGGUGUCUCCGAAGGUGUUUGUUGGGUUGGCAUAGAUCAAGAUUAGGAUUUGUCACUCCGUGUUUCAGAGAGGUAUCUCUAGGCCCUCUCGGUAAUACUCAUCACUAUAAGCCUUGCAAGCAUUGUGACUAAUGAGUUAAUUGCAGGAUGAAGUAUUAUGGAACGAGUAAAGAGACUUGCCGGUAACGAGAUCGAACUAGGUAUUGAGAUACCGACGAUCGAAUCUCGGGCAAGUAACAUACCGAUGACAAAGGGAACAACAUAUGUUGUUAUGCGGUUUGACCAAUAAAGAUCUUCGUAGAAUAUGUAGGAACCAAUAUGAGCAUCCAGGUUCCGCUAUUGGUUAUUGACCGGAGACGUGUCUCGGUCAUUUCUACAUAGUUCUCGAACCCGUAGGGUCCGCACGCUUAACGUUCGAUGACGAUUGGUAUUAUGAGUUUAUGUGUUUUGAUGUACCGAAGUUAGUUCGAAGUUUUGGAUGUGAUCACGGACAUGACGAGGAGUCUCAAAAUGGUCGAGACCUGAAGAUUGAUAUAUUGGACGACUAUGUUUGUACAUCGGAAUGGUUCCGAGUGAGUUCGGGCAUAUACCGGAGUACCGGGAGUACCGGAACCCCCCGGGGAGUAUAUGGGACCUAAUGGGCUUUAGUGGAGAGAGAGAGAGGGGCAGCCAAGGCAGGCCGUGCCCCCUCCCCUCUGGUCUGAAUUGGACUAGGAAGGGGGGACGGCACCCCCUUUCCUUCCUCCCUCUCUCCCCCUUCCUUCUCUCCUAGUCCAACUAGGGAAGGGGGGAAUCCUACUCCCGGUGGGAGUAGGACUCCUCCAGGGCACGCCAUAGAGGGUUGUCUCUCCCCCUCCUCCACUCCUUUAUAUACGGGGGAAGGGGGCAGCCCAGAGACACACAAGUUGACAUUGUUUAGCCGUGUGCGGUGCCCCCCUCCACAGUUACACACCUCGGUCAUAUCGUCGUAGUACUUAGGCGAAGCCCUCCGCCGGUAACUUCAUCAUCACACCGUCGUGCUGACGAAACUCUCCCUCGGUCUCAACUGGAUCAAGAGUACGAGGGAUGUCCCCAAGCUAAACGUGUGCUGAACGUGGAGGUGUCGUACGUUCGGUGCUUGGAUCGGUUGGAUCGCGAAGACGUUCGACUCAUCAACCGCGUUAACUAAACGCUUUCGCUUUCGGUAUACGAGGGUACGGACACACUCUCCCCUCUCGUUGCUAUGCAUCACCUAGAUAGUUCUUGUGUGAUCGUAGGAAUUUUUUUGAAAUUACCACGUUCCCGAACAGUGGCAUCCGAGACAGGUCUAUGCAUAGAUGUUAUAUGCACGAGUAGAACAAAAAGAGUUGUGGGCGAUAAUAGUCAUAUUGCUUACCAGCAUGUCAUACUUUGAUUCGAUGGUAUUGUUGGAUGAAGCGGCUCAGACCGACAUUAUGCAUAGCUUACGCGAGACGGGUCCUACGCUAAGGUCGGCCAAAAUAUGGACACCCGAAGGGCCCGGCGCGCACAAUCCUAUCCAAGAGAGAUCUACGGUCUAAUGAGGCUACUAUGAAAUAUUUACUCAUGGGUGGGGCAAGCUCUUCUAUUCUGGUUCAUGGUUUCUCUUGGCUAUAUGGUUCAUCUGGGGGGGAGAUCGAGCUUCAAGAAAUUGUGAACGGUCUUAUCAAUACACAAAUGUAUAACUCCCCAGGAAUUUCAAUUGCGCUUAUAUCCAUCACUGUAGGACUUGGGUUUAAUCGCCCCUUCUUCUUGCGCCAAAGAUCUUACCAUUUCCGAAGGAACUAGGGCUACAUUUCUUUUCAAUUUCCAUUCAAGAGUUUCUAUCUGUUUCCACGCCCUUCUCUUGAGACCUCGAAACAUGAGAACAAAUUACUUCUCUUAGGAACACAUACAAGAAAAAGGAUAACGGUAGCCCUCCCAUUAACUACUUCAUUUUCAUUUAUGAAUUUCAUAGUAAUAGAAAUCCAUGUCCUACCGAGACAGAAUUUAGAACUUGCUAUCCUCUUGCCUAAUAGGCAUGCUUUGCACAUAGGUGGCUAGUGAGUGUCUGUUUCUCCAACUUUAGUUGAAUCGAGUGUGGCUAGCCCGGUCCUUGUUGAAGGUUAAAACAACACACUUGACAAAAAAUCGUCGUGGUUUUAAUGCGUAGGUAAGAACGGUUCUUGCUAGAGGCCCGUAGGAGCCACGUAAAACUUGCAACAACAAAGUAGAGGACGUCUAACUUGUUUUUGCAGGGCUUGCUGUGAUGUGAUAUGGUCAAGACAUGAUGCUAAAUUUUAUUGUAUGAGAUGGUCAUGUUUUGUAACAAAGUUAUCGGCAACUGGCAGGAGCCAUAUGGUUGUCGCUUUAUUGUAUGCAAUGCAAUCACCAUGUAAUUGUUUUACUUUAUCACUAAGCGGUAGCGAUAGUCGUAGUAACAAUAGGUGGCGAGACGACAACGAUGCUAGGAUGGAGAUCAAGGUGUCACGCCGGUGACGUUGCAGAUCAUGACGAUGCUUCGGUGAUGGAGAUCAUGAUCACAAGAUGAUGAUGGCCAUAUCAUGUCACAUAUUUUGAUUGCAUGUGAGGUUUAUCCUUUAUGCAUCUUAUUUUGCUUAGUACGGCGGCAGCAUUAUAAGAUGAUCCCUUACUAAAUUUCAAGGUACAAGUGUUCUCCCUGAGUAUGCACCAUUGCUACAGUUCGUCGUGCCGAGACACCACGUGAUGAUCGGGUGUGAUAAGCUCUACGUUCACAUACAAUAGGCGCAAGCCAGUUUGGCACACGCGGAAUACUCGGGUUAAACUUGACGAGCCUAGCAUAUCCAGAUAUGGCCUUGGAACACUGAGACCGAAAGGUCGAGCGUGAAUCAUAUAGUAGAUAUGAUCAAAUAGUGAUGUUCACGAUUGAAAACUACUCCAUCUCACGUGAUGAUCGGACAUGGUUUAGUUGAUUUGGAUCACGUGAUCACUUAGAAGAUUAGAGGGAUGUCUAUCUAAGUGGGAGUUCUUAAGUAACAUGAUUAAUUGAACUUUAAUUUAUCAUGAACUUAGUCCUGAUAGUAUUUUGCAAAUUAUAUUGUAGAUCAAUAGCUCACGUUGUUGCUUCCCUAUGUUUUUAUAUGUGUUCCUAGACAAAACUAAGUUGAAAGAUAAUAUAGCAAUGAUGCGGACUGGGUCCAUGAUCUGAGGUGUAUCCUCAUUGCUGCACAGGAGAAUUAUGUCCUUGAUGCACCGCUAGGUGACAGACCUAUUGCAGGAACAGAUGCAGACGUUAUGAACGUUUGGCUAGCUCAAUAUGAUGACUACUUGAUAGUUUAGUGCACCAUGCUUAACGGCUUAGAAUCGGGACUUCAAAGACGUUUUGAACGUCAUGGACCAUAUGAGAUGUUCCAGGAGUUGAAGUUAAUAUUUCAAGCAAAUACCCGAGUUGAGAGAUAUGAAGUCCCCAACAAGUUCUAUAGCUAAAAGAUGGAGGAGAAUAGCUCAAGCAGUGAGCAUGUGCUCAGAUUGUCUGGGUACUACAAUCGCUUGAAUCAAGUGGGAGUUAAUCUUCCAGAUAAGAUAGUGAUUGAUAGAGUACUCUAGUCACCAUCACCAAGUUACUGGAACUUCAUGAUGAGCUAUAGUAUGCAAGGGGUGACGAAAACAAUUCCCGAGCUCUUUGUGAUGCUGAAAUCGACAAAGGUAGAAAUCAAGAAAGAGCAUCAAGUGUUGAUGAUUGACAAGAUCACUAGUUUCAAGAAAAGGGCAAAGGGAAAGAAAGGGAACUUCAAGUAUAAUGGCAAGAAAGUUGUCACUCCCGUGAAGAAGCCCAAAGCUAGACCAAAGCCUGAAACUGAGUGCUUCUACUGCAAAGGAAAUGGUCACUAGAAGCAGAAAUGCCCUGAAUAUUUGGUAGAUAAGAAGGAUGGCGAAGUAAACAAGGGUAUAUUUGAUAUAUAGGUUAUUGAUGUGUACCUUACUAGUGUUUAUAGUAGCCCCUGGGUAUUUGAUACUUGUUCGGUUGCUAAUAUUAGUAACUCGAAACAGGAGUUACAGAAUGAACAGAGACUAGUUGAGGGUGAAGUGACAAUGUGUGUUGGAAGUGGUUCCAAGAUUGAUAUGAUCAUCAUCGCACACUCCCUAUACUUUCGAGAUUAGUGUUGAACCUAAAUAAAUGUUAUUUGGUGUUUGCGUUGAGCAUAAAUAUGAUUAGAUCAUGUUUAUUGCGAUACAGUUAUUCAUCUAACACAAAGAAUAAAUUGUUAUUCUGUUUACAUGAAUAAAACCUUCUAUGGUCAUACACCCAAUGUUGAUUGUUUAUUGAAUCUUGAUCGUAGUGAUACACAUAUUCAUAAUAUUGAUGCCAAAAGAUGCAAAGUUGAUAAUGAUAGUGCAACAUAUUUGUGGCACUACCGUUUGGGUCAUAUCGGUGUAAAGCGCAUGAAGAAACUCCAUAAAGAUGGAUUUUUGGAAUCACUUGAUUAUGAAUCAUUUGAUGCUUGCGAACCGUGCCUUAUGGGCAAGAUGACUAAAACUCCGUUCUCCAGAACAAUGGAACGAGCUAGUGACUUAUUGGAAAUAAUACAUACCGAUGUAUGCGGUCCAAUGAGUGUUGAUGCUCGUGGCGGGUAUCGUUAUUUUCUGACCUUCAUAGAAGAUUUGAGCAGAUAUGGGUAUAUCUGCUUAAUGAAACACAAGUCUGAAACAUUUGAAAAGUUCAAGGAAUUUUAGAGUGAAGUGGAGAAUCAUCAUAACAAGAAAAAAAGUUUCUACGAUCUGAUUGUAGAGGAUAAUAUUUGAGUUACGAGUUUGGCCUUCAUUUAAAACAAUGUAGAAUAGUUUCACAGCUCACGCCACAAGGAACACCACAGCGUAAUGGUGUGUCUGAACGUUGUAACUGCACUUUAUUGGAUAUGGUGCGAUCUAUGAUGUCUCUUACCAGGUUACCACUAUCUUUUUGGGGUUAUGCAUUAGAGACAGCUACAUUCACGUUAAACAGGGCACCAUCAAAAUCCGUUGAGACGGCGUCUUAUGGAACUAUGGUUUGGCAAGAAACCAAAGUUGUCGUUUCUUAAAGUUUGGGACUGCGAUGCUUAUGUGAAAAAGCUUCAACCAGAUAAGCUCGAACCCAAAUCUUAGAACUGAGUCUUCAUAGGAUACCCAAAGGAAACUGUUGGGUACACCUUCUAUCACACAUCCGAAGGCAAGAUAUUCAUUGCUAAGAAUGGAUCCUUUCUAGAGAAGGAGUUUCUCUCGAAAGAAGUGAGUGGGAGGAAAGUAGAGCUUGAUGAGGUAAUUGUACCUUCUCCCGAAUUGGAAAGUAGUUCAUCACAGAUAUCAGUUCUAGUGAUUCCUACACCAAUUAGUGAGGAAGCUAAUGAUGAUGAUCAUGAAACUUCCGAUCAAGUUACUACAGAACCUCAUAGGUUUUCCAGAGUACGGUCCGCACCAGAGUGGUACGGUAAUCCUAUUCUGAAAGUCGUGUUACUAGACCAUGAUGAACCUACGAACUAUGAGGAAGCGAUGAUGAGCCCAGAUUCUGCGAAAUGGCUUGAGGCCAUGAAAUCUGAGAUGGGAUCCAUGUAUGAGAACAAAGUGUGGACUUUGGUGGACUUGCCCGAUGGUCGGCAAGUCUUAUUAAAUAUAUGGAUCUUCAAGAGGAAGACAGACGCUAAUAGUAGUGUUACUAUCUACAAAGCUCGACUUGUCACAAAAGGUUUUUGACAACUUCAAGGUGUUGACUACAAUGAGAUUUUCUCAACUGUAGCGAUGCUUAAAUCCGUCUGAAUCAUGUUAGCAGUUGCCAUAUUUUAUGAAAUCUGGCAAAUGGAUGUCCUACAUUCCUUAAAAUGGAUAAUUCUAAAAGAAGAGUUGUAUAUGAUGCAACCAAAAGGUUUUGUCAAUCCUAAAGGUACUAACAAGGUGAGCAAGCUCCAGUGAUCCAUCUAUGGACUGGUCCAAGCAUCUCGGAGUUGGAAUGUACGCCUUGAUGAGUUGAUCAAAGCAUAUAGUUUUAUACAGACUUGCAGUGAAGCUUGUAUUUAGAAGAAAGUGAGUGGGAGCUCUGUAGUAUUUCUAAUAUUAUAUGUGGAUGACAUAUUGUUGAUUGGAAAUAAUAUAGAAUUUCUGGAUAGCAUAAAGGGAUGCUUGAAUAAGAGUUUUUCAAUGAAAGACCUCGGUGAAGCUGCUUACAUAUUGGGCAUCAAGAUCUAUAGAGAUAGAUCAAGGCAAUCAGACUAUGCGGCUUUAUCACUUUCACUUAGCCAUGAGAGUCCAUAGGUGGAGCUAGGUACUAGCCCCUUGUUGCGUAAACGAUGAUCCGGAGUACGACGCCUUUGCAACGCGGCUGGUCGAAGCCCAGCCCCUCGCAUAACACAGCAUAAAUCUCGAACGGUUUGUAGUAUAACACUAAGUCACCGGAUCACUGACCCGCUCUCGCAUAUCAUGACAGUCAGUUUUUUGCUUUCUCUACUGAGGUACUUAACCGGACGAACCAGAAAUACAAUCGCAGUAGUUCUCCCUUAACUACCUUAGCCGAACUUGCAGAACGUAAGGUGGCAAAUACAGGAGCCGGGCAACCCAACUAUAGUCCAAAGACAUGAUUCGGAGCCGAUGCAUAUAAUGCAAUGUCCGGGAUGCCGAAGAGUUCCCUAUAGGUGUUCGGACUUAAGAGUUUGCGGGGCCGAAUACAACCCCUGGUAUGAAGGCCGUGCCGAAACACGUAUGUCAGUCGAAAGCAAGGAGGGAAUACGGAUGAUAAGAUAAUAUAAGAGCCCAAUCAAAAAACAUGGUGAUCGUCUGCUUCAUUUAUAUCCUUAUUAAUACGCUGAGGCAUGUUUCGACAGACAAUGCCAUGAAUAUCAAGGUCAUGUUACAUGCCUAAAGAAAAAAAUACAUAAGGGAAAGUCUAACACAGGGCCUAAAAAUAAUAGUUCAAAAACUCCAGUGAUGCCCUACCGCGCAUCUGCGCCGUUUCUCCUUAGUAAUAAGUCCUUUGAUAGGAGUAUUUGAUGGUUGGGAAACGCUAGCCUUGAAAGGAUCCCUGAUACAACCAUACAGCAAAUAGGGCUCUUAAUGAACUUGUCGUGAAAAAAGAUGUAUGCAGUCCAAAUAGGGUCCAGCCGUACUAUGGACUUGUUCCGCAGUGUGCCCCGGGCGCUGCCCAAGGUAUUUUGAGUGCGUAGUUAUGUACGUGUGGUACAUAAAGCCGCAACCUUAUGGGGCAGUCGAUAGAGGCCGAACUGCUAAUCGAGGUUCGGAUUCGUCAAGUUAUCGCAGCGAGGCGCGAACGAAACUCGUUUAGAGAUGUUGUUGGCUUUAAUGUACGAUGAAUUGUUCGACUUGAUAAGGCCGCCAUACACCUCGGCUGCAAGAGCCGCGGUGUGUUCUUCAGUACGGAGGGAGCGCUCCAUAUUUCCAUUGACUGUAAUAACGCCGCGAGGUCCAGGCAUCUUAAGCUUCAAAUAAGCAUAGUGCGGGACUGCAUUAAAGCAGGCGAAAGCAGUUCGUCCGAGCAGUGCAUGAUAGCCACUGCGGAAAGGGACGAUGUCGAAGAUUAAUUCUUCACUGCGAAAGUUGUCUGGGGAGCCGAAUACUACUGAAGGAAAUAUGCCCUAGAGGCAAUAAUAAAGUUAUUAUUUAUUUCCUUAAUUCAUGAUAAAUGUUUAUUAUUCAUGCUAAAAUUGUAUUAACCGGGAACUUAGUACAUGUGUGAAUACAUAGACUAAACAUAUAGUCCCUAGUAUGCCUCUACUUGACUAGCUCGUUUAUCAAAGAUGGUUAUGUUUCCUAACCAUAGACAUGUGUUGCCAUUUGAUGAACGGGAUCACAUCAUUAGGAGAAUGAUGUGAUGGACAUGACCCAUCCGUUAGCUUAGCAUUAUGAUCGUGUUAGUUUCAUUGCUACUGCUUUCUUCAUGACUUAUAGAAGUUCCUCAGACAAUGAGAUUAUGCAACUCCUGAAUACCGGAGGAACACUUUGUGUGCUACCAAACGUCACAACAUAAAAGGGUGAUUAUAAAGGUGCUCUACAGGUGUCUCCGAAGGUGUUUGUUGGGUUGGCAUAGAUCGAGAUUAGGAUUUGUCACUCCGUGUUUCAGAGAGGUAUCUCUGGGCCCUCUCGCUAAUACUCAUCACUAUAAGCCUUGCAAGCAUUGUGACUAAUGAUUUAAUUGUGGGAUGAAGUAUUAUGGAACGAGUAAAGAGACUUGCCGGUAACGAGAUUGAACUAGGUAUUGAGAUACCGAUGAUCGAAUCUCGGGCAAGUAACAUACCGAUGACAAAGGGAACAACAUAUGUUGUUAUGCGGUUUGACCGAUAAAGAUCUUCGUAGAAUAUGUAGGAACCAAUAUGAGCAUCUAGGUUCCGCUAUUGGUUAUUGACCGGAGACGUGUCUCGGUCAUGUCUACAUAGUUCUCGAACCCGUAGGGUCCGCACGCUUAAUGUUCGAUGACGAUUGGUAUUAUGUGUUUAUGUGUUUUGAUGUACCGAAGGUAGUUCAGAGUUCCGGAUGUGAUCACGGACAUGCGAGGAGUCUCAAAAUGGUCGAGACUAGAAGAUUGAAUUAUUGGACGACUAUGUUUGGACAUCGGAAUGGUUUCAGGUGAGUUCGGGCAUAUACCGGAGUACCGGGAGGUAUAUGGGCCCUAAUGGGCUUUAGUGGGGAGAGAGAGGGGCAGCCAAGGCAGGUCGCGUGCCCCCUCCCCCUCUGGUCCAAAUUGGACUAGGAGGGGGGCGGAGCCCCCCUUUCUUCCUCCCUCUCUCGCCCUUCCUUCUCUCCUAGUCCAACUAGGAAAGGGGGGAAUUCUAAUUCCGGUGGGAGUAGGACUCCUCCAGGGCGCGCCAUAGAGGGUCGGCCCUCCCCCUCCUCCACUCCUUUAUAUACGGGGGAAGGGGGCACCCCAGAGACACACAAGUUGACAUUGUUUAGCCGUGUGCGGUGCCCCCCUCCACAGUUACACACCUCGGUCAUAUUGUCGUAGUGCUUAGGCGAAGCCCUGCAUCAGUAACUUCAUCAUCACCGUCAUCACGUCAUCGUGCUGGCGAAACUCUCCCUCGACCUCAACUGGAUCAAGAGUACGAGGGACGUCCCGGAGCUGAAUGUGUGCUGAACGCGGAGGUGCCGUACGUUCGAUGCUUGGAUUGGUUGGAUCGCAAAGACGUUCGACUACAUCAACAACGUUAACUAAAUGCUUCCGCUUUCGGUCUACAAGGGUACGUGAACACACUCUCCCCUCUCGUUGCUAUGCAUCACCUAGAUAGAUCUUGCGUGAUCAUAGGAAAUUUUUUGAAAUUAUGGCGUUCCCUAACAACUACCCCCAGUGUCAGUGAGCCCGUGCAACGAGCCUCCACGCCGGGUAUCACACCUUUAAAGGUAGUGUUACUAGGCUUUAUUCUUGAUGGGUUAAUGCCCAUCUUGCGGACAGUGUCUUGAUAAAUCAAAUUCAGACUGCUGCCCCAUCCAUAAGGAUUCUUGUGAGAUGGUAUCCAUUGAUAAUUGGAUCGAGUAACAAGGCGUCUGAACCCCCGUGAAGGAUACUGGUUGGGUGGUCCCUAUGAUCAAAAGUGAUCGGACAGGCUGACCAUGGGAUGAAUUUAGGGGCGACGGGCUCUAUGGCGUAGACGUCCCUUAGUGCGCGCUUGCGCUCCCUUUUGGGAAUGUGAGUGACAUAGAUCAUGUUCACUAUUUUCACCUCGGGGGGAAACUGCUUUUGGCCCCUGGUAUUCGGCUGACGGGGCUCAUCAUCGUCCUCACUUGGAGGUCCCUUUCCCUUGUGUUCAGUAUUUAACUUACCGGCCUGUUUGAUACCCAACAGUUCCUGAUGAUGUGGUUAGCGGGCUUAUCGGGUGUGCCAUGAAUCUGGCAGGGCCUCUCAAGGAUUUUAUCCAAGCUAUAUGGACCGUCCCUGUUUCGUUUGAAAGGUUUCUUCCGCUGACCGGAUUUAGAACCACUGAAUCCGGCAUUGACGGCCGUAUCAUCUGCAUCGUCAUUGUUGAUGCGACAUUUGUUUUUAUUGCGACGUGGUUUACCAUUGCCAUCCCUGGCCUCAGAGGUGCCAAGGUCGCCCAAGUUGUUGCUUCUACGAGCCAACCAGCUAUCUUCACCCGCACAGAAACGGGUCAUGAGUGCAGUUAAGGUUGCCGUGGUUUUCGGCUUCUCCUGCCCGAGGUGUCGGGCGAGCCAUUUGUCCCGGGCACUGUGUUUGAAGGCUGCUAAGGCUUCGGCGUCCGGACAGUCCAUGAUUUGGUUCUUUUUAAUUAAGAACCGAUUCCAAAGCUUGUGAGCUGAUUCUCCUAGUUGCUGGAUUAUGUGACUCAAGUCGUCCGCAUCCGGAGGCCGGACAUAAGUGCCCUGGAAGUUGGCCCGAAAAGCAUCUUCCAAAUUUUCCCAGGUUCCAAUGGAGUUUUCUAGGAGGCUGUUCAGCCAGUGCCGUGCUGGUCCUUUCAGCUUUAGAGGAAGGUUUUUAAUAGCAUGGAGGUCAUCUCCACGAGCCAUGUGAAUGUGGAGAAGAAAAUCUUCAAUCCAGACGGUCGGAUCCGUCGUUCCAUCAUACUGUUCGAUGUUCACGAGUUUAAACCCUUCCAGAAACUGGUGUUGCAUUACCUCAUCGGUAAAGCACAUGGGGUGUGCGGCACCCCUGUAUCGUGCGACAUCACGGCGGAGAUCGGAUGACAUCUGAGUUUGGUUCUGAUCCCGAGUAAUAUUCAUCACGCCGGACUUCAUAGCCAUUAUCUCAUGCCAGGGAAUGGCCUCUUGAUCCAUAGUGGUUUGACCGACUUUAUAGGCCAGGUCCUAUUGCAAGUCGUAUGUGUAACCCGCAGUUGUUGUCUCCUUGCCUCUUCGGCGAGGGGAUGCGGGCUGGUGUUCGGCUUGAUAUGCUGCUUUAUCUCGUCCACGUGGUGGUCGGUCUGGUUGAUCUGCCUAAUUGUAUUUCGACGGUAUUGGCUCAAGGGCUUCGUCAUCGAAUUGUGGUAGUAGCUUGCGCUUGGGAUAACUUUUUGUAGGUCGCUCGUGGUCGUACUCCUCGACGGCCAGGACCUUGGUCCACCUUUCAUUGAGCUUAUCCUGUUCAGCUUUGAGCUGGUGCUAUUUUCUUUUCAGGCUCCGCGCUAUGGCGAUGAGCUAUCGCUUGAAGCAUUCUCGCUCGAGCGGUUCCUCUGGGACGAUAAAGUCUUCGUCAUCGAGGCUAACGUCCUCUUCGGAGACUGGCAUAUAGUUGUUGUCUUCCGAAUCUUCGUGAUCAGCGUGUUUGGGGCUAUACUGACCAUCUUCCCUCUCAUCCUGUUUGGAUGUGGGCUCGACUAGGUGUUCGGGAUCUUCGGCAUCAUCCAGAGCCUCAUUGUCUCUGGUGCCGGUAUUACUAUCCUUCGCCUGACGCGAUCGUGAGCGGCGCCGCUGAUGUCGGCGCUUUGGUGGUUUAUCGACGGGCUUGUCCUCAUCGGGGUUCUGAUUAUCCUCGUCAUCCUUUUUAUCAGGAGUGUCCACCAUGUAUACGUCAUAGGUUGAAGUGGCCGUCCAACACCCUAUGAUGGGUGGGACUUGGCUUGAUUCAGCGUCGGCAUCGUCGUCCAAACCGUCGAUUUCUUCGGACGCGUAGUCUAGCAUGUCGGUUAAAUCCUCGACAAUGGCUAUUAAGUGGGUGGUGGGCGGGUCAUAAAAUUCCCCGCUCUCUGCCUCCAACCCGUACGGGCUGCAGUUCGGAGGCAAGCUUUACGUAAUGGUGAGGGAUCGCAUUAAACCCAGCGCUUCGUCCAAGGGUGAAAGCUGGGUGCGAGUCCGCGGAUCUAUAGGGCUGAGUUCGGUGACAAGCACCUGAUUAGGCCCGAUCGACGCAGACUUUGAUAGUUCGGAGCUAACGUCCAGAGGCGAGUCCAAAACCACAGCUAGGUCUCCGGUCGGGAGUUCCAUGGUAGAAGAGAGUCCGGCGGGGGUGAUCCCCCAUCCUCGGACGUAACUACCCGCUCCGGAUCUACGGCCGAGGCGGGUGUGAGUGUCGACCCCUCGACGGGAUCUAAGAGCGGAUCCGAAGAGCUUCCUUCAUAGGGGCGAGGGGCGGCAACUAGAGCCGCGAACCCCUCAAAGACCAGAUCUCCUCGGAUAUCGGCGAUGUAAUUCAGGUUUCCAAACCUGAUCUAGUGGCCGGGGGUGUAACUGUCUACCUGCUCGAGGCGGCCGAUCGAGUUGGCAUGAAGCACGAAGCCACCGAACACAAAGACCUGUCCAGGAAGAAAGGUUUCCCUAGACAUAGCAUCAUUGUUGAUGAAGAGGCGCGCCAUCAAUCCUUCCGUCGAUGAUACAUCGGAGCUCUCAAUGAAAGCACCAACAUCGGUGUCAAAACCGGCAGAUCUCGGGUAGGGGGGGCCAAGCUAUAUGUCUGAGGAUCGAUGGUAACUAGAUCAAAAGGACACAGUGUUUACCCAGGUUCGGGCCCUCUUAAUGGAGGUAAAACCCUACUCAUGCUUGAUUAUAUUCGAUGAGUAUAGGGGUUACAAGAGUUGAUCUACCUCGAGAUCGUAAUGGCUAAACCCUAGCUUGACUAGCCUAUCAAUGUCGUGAUCCUGCCUUUGAUCUCACCCCCCGAUUUAUAUAGGUACCGGAGGGGCUUUAGGGUUGUACAAAGUCGGUUUAACAGAAAGGAAACAGUACAUCCGAACACCUGAACUUGCUAUCCACGCAUACGGGAGUCCCUAGCGGACACGAGAAGUGGUCUUCUACCUUGUAUCUUGACGGCCCAUCAGUCUCGCCCAUAUCCAAUAGACCGGACGCCCGAGGACCCCCUAGUCCAGGACUCCCUCAACGAGGUUGAUGGCAGAGGCGAUGCUUUGGUGGGUUGGCAUGCUUGGAAAAGGUGGAUGUGCUACAGGCUGCGCUUCUUGCCUCUGUGCGUCGCGUGCCGCCUAGGUUUAUGCACAAUAUCGCUGGGUGGCGGGAAAUGGUGGCGUGUUCAUAAAACGCCAUCAAUUAAUGGAAACUUAGCAUACAAGGAACAUUGAGCUAGCACAAGAAGUAGAUGAUGAUCAGAUGAACACGGACCACACUAGGGAACCCGUCGGUGAUGAAUUCAUCAAUCACAAACGGUUGUAUACUAGCAAGCGUUUGCCCACAACACACACGGCUUAUUCCAUCACAAACAGGUCGGAUGGAUCAAUUGUAUGUCACGUAUCGCACAUUGUCAAAAAAUAAUGUGGUAGACCUUCUUUAACAUGUGUUAAAAAAACAAGGACCUCGAGGUUAAUUUAACUGAUGGGAUGGAUCAUAGAGGUCAUUUAAUUUGACCUCUAUGACCCAUCCCAUCAGUUAAUUUAACAUCAAGAUAACUUCGCAUCCAGUCACCCAUCUGAUGGCUGCUCCAUCCUGAGCACACUUAACUUGAGAGUUCUCUUAGAUGAGCUAUUGGUGGAACAACUAGUCCUUACUGAUAUAGGAUGCCCCUUCGCAUACUUAUGGCAUACCCGGAUGAUCGCCCAUCCCCCAAUGACCAAUAGAUGUUGUGUAGAUAGAGCAUAUCACAUACGUCUUAUUAGAAGCAAUCGUCUGUGUUACUAUCGGUCUUCGCACACAUUUCUGAUUACAUACCUGUUUGCCGCGUAUCACACACAUCUUUUUAUAUUGAACCAUUUUUGUUCUCUUGUCUCAACGCAAACAAUUCAUCCGAGUGAACCGCAUGUCGUAUAUCGCACACACCUUGAUUUGGCUGGCCAUUUCUUUUGUGUUGCCUAAUCAUAAACAGUUCAUCCGAGUGAACCUUAUGUUGUAUAUCACACACACCUUCAUCUGGCUGCCCGUUUCUUUUGUUCCUCCUCAUCGCAAACAGUUAAUUGAACUGAACCGUAUGCCCUGCAUCGCACACGCAACUAAAAUUUGAACCAUGUUUGAUGCAUCCGUCAUCGCAAACAUUUUGCAUCUUUUUUGACAGUUUUUUACACCACCUUUUGUGAUUAUUGCAUCGCACAUAGUUUCGUCGAAGGGUCUCUGAUCGUAGUGCCGCGUUAGCAGCAUCCUGCAGUAGUGACAUGAUUCUUGAACCCGUAGGGUCCGCACGCUUAAUGUUCGGUGAAGCUAGAGUAAUAUUGGGAUAUGCAUGUUGGUGAUCAAAUGUUGUUUGGAGUCCCGGAUGAUAUCCCGGAUGUCACGAGGAGCUCUGAAAUGGUCCGGAGGUAAAGAUUUAUAUAUGGAAAGUUGCUUUCAGGGUUUUGAAAAAAGUUUCAGUUUUUUGGGUAUUAUACCGGGAAGCUUCCAAAAUGUUCCAGAAAAUUCCGGAGGAGUCCGGAAGUUCACCAAGGGUUCCACCACAUCCCAAGGGCCAGCAUGGGCUGAGGGGAGGCACCCUGGCCUUAUUGGGCCAGGCGCACAAGUCCCUCAAGGCCCAUGUGGCUUGGGAGAGGUGGAAAGUCCACCUUUAUAUGGAAAAGGAGGGAAUUGGACUAGGAGUCCAACUCCUCCCACCUUGGUGCGCCCCUAGGGCUUGGAGGACUGGCCACGACGCCCCUCCACCUAUAUAUAGAGGGUAGGGGUGCCCCCAAGAGGACACACAAGCCCUUGGCCCCCCUCUCUCUCUCUCGUUACUUCGUAACUCCUCCAUCUUUGUUGUUUCGGUAGCGCUCGGCGUAGCCCUGCCAGAAUCACUCCACCACCAUCACCUUCACACCAUCGUGCUGCUGGCAAUCAUAUCCAAUUCUCCUUCCUUGCUUGCUGGAUCAAGGAGGAGGAGACGUCAUCGAGACAUACGUGUGCUGAACGCGGAGGUGCCAUCCGUUCAGUACUUCAUCGGUUUGGAUCGCAAUUGGAUCAUAACGAGUAUGACUACAUCAACCGCGUGAUAUGCGCUUCCACUUAACGGUCUAAGAGGGUACGUAGAUACACUCUCCCCUCUUGUUGUUAUGCUUCUCCUAGAUAGAUCUUGGGUGUUCGGAGGAUUUUUUUUCAUGCUUUGUUCCCCAACAACUUUACCUUCCACAUUGAGGUCAAGUUGCCUACUAGUUGGCAUAGGAGUCUUAUAUGACUUGACAUUGACCAUUUAAAAAAUAAUUGAGAAUAUCCUUUGUAUACUUGGUUUGAGAGAUGCCAUUUCUGCUCUCCCAUCAUUGACAUCUCAAACUUCCUAGUCAUACCCUUGGAGAUUUCUUUGCACAAAGUUUUGUUAGGGAACCGAAGAUAAUUUCAUCCACAUAGAUUUUCAUAUAAUCAAAUCACUUGUGGUUCUCUUAGUACGAAGAGUGGUGUUGAUUUACCGUAUCUCCAAUCCUUCCAGUACUAGAGACUCCCUAAGGUGAUAAUACCAAGCACAUGGGGCUUGCUUGAGCCCAUAUAAUGCCUUAUGAAGUUUAUAGAUAUGGUCCUUGUGAUGGGGACCAAUGAAGCCGAGUGGUUGUGCAUGUAAGAAAUAUACGCACACGGUCUAACCCCUAUUCCUCGAUCCUUUUCCGUGGUUCCGCUCACAAUUGAUCAAUUGAGGCUAGGGGUUAGAGACCUUUAUAUAGUGCUAUUUCAGUUAAUUUCAAACUGUAUAAACUGCAGAUAAGUGUCCAGAUAAAAUUUGUUUAAACGAAGACUCCAGGUUAACUUAACCAACCACGAUCAUUAGUAACCAUCAAAGAGUUUCAUCUGCAAACUGUCCCACAAGCACGUACGUGUGAGUCGCACGCUGAAUUUGAAUUACAAUUCAAAUUCACAGGCUUUACCAAUUCAUGGAGCCAAUCCCACGAACAACCUGGCUUUUCAUAAUAUGUUGUGCCCGGGCAAAUAUACAUUUAGUACAAUAAAUAUUCCAGCAUUAAUAAAUACUGUUUCCAGCAUAUAUGUACCGUCUUCCAUGAACUAUAUUCCAUUCAUGUAUUCCAAGCAAUAUUUAAGUGCAUCGGUAAAUUCCAUAUCAAGGUAAACAUAUUCCAGGAACUAUGUAGUAUAUAUGUAAAAUGUUGCAAGCCAUACAUAAGUAUUUCCUACAGUGCAACGUAUGCCAACUCAUUCAUGGAAUCAUUAAGAGAUGCACACUUAACAUGCAUUUGAUAUAACUUGAAAUUGUUCAAAGAUACCUAGAGACCUUCGAGACAUACAAGGUUGACAAAUAGGAUAAGGCUAGAUGCACCAUUUAUAGGACCUUAUCAUUACCUCAGCGGUGAGGUAUUUUCAGGGGUGAAAAAAUGAACUGGAAUUUUUUGUAUUUCUUUCCUGGAUUUGAAACUACUCAUGGAAGCCUCAUAAAAGUUGAAAAAAUGUUUGAAUUUUUUAACCUCAAACACUGAAACCAUCUGUUUCUAGUCUUUUUUAAGGGAAAUCUGUUUCUAGUAAAGACAGGAAAAUAUAGAAAAGUCGAACCAUCAUGGGCCAAAGCCCAUCUAUUCUCCCCUAUUUCCUUUUUAGGUCACUCUCCACCUUUUGCUUUUUUUGAGGCAACCACUUUCCUUCUCUUCAUGUACCCUCCACCAGCAAAUGGGCCAAACGCCAUCUUUCCUUUUCAUCAUUCCUUUUUCUUUUAUUUUCACUGAAUGUGCCAUAGCCUAACAAACAAAACAAGGCUAGUCUGAAACCUCCUCUUCUCUUUUCUUAGCAAAACUUGCCUAUCAUGAGACCUAUCGUCGCCUCGCCGUAGGCGCUGGGGUGCCCUUGCCUUAGUGGGUUGGCCCAUCUAAAUGGUUUUGGAAGGUACUUUAAAUCGAUUUGGACCGGGUUUAGAACAUCGCAUGCAUACUUUGUAAACUUAGAAGAUGAGAACAAAUCACAAAAAUUAAAUUAAAUCUUUAUGUACUGACUCCUAAGCAAAUUAUUUGGAAUUGUGAAGUGCAAUAAAUCAUUUUAUCCACUAAUAGUGGCCAAAUUAGUUUUUUACGUGUUCCUCUUAUCAUUUUUAAAAUACGCCAAAAUUUUCCUAUACAGGUUAUACAAUUUCUUAUACAAGUAUAACAUUUUUUAUGCAUGUUGAACAUUUCUCAAAUAUAUAUGAUGAGCAUUUUUUUCAAAGCAUGUUUGAACAUUUUUUCAAAUAAAUGUUACACAUUUUUAAAUUCACAUUGAACAUUUUUUGAAUGGAAUGAAACAAUUUUUAAAACUACGUGAGCGUUUUUCUAAAUUUUACAAAUUUUUAUGAAAUAUCAUGAACAUAUUCUUGAAACAUGUGAACAUUUUUUAAAAAUGUCACAGACAGUUUUUGAAUGGUAUGAAUGUUUUUAGAAAAUAAUCUAACAUUAUUAUACGUUGUAUAAAUAGUUCUAAAAUGUCACAAACAUUUCUUUAAAUGCGUGAAUUAUUUUCUGAAUGGCACAAAGCAUCUUUUCCAAAUUACACAAUAUUUUUUUUGCAUUGUGUUUUUUUUUUGAAAAUGUCACGACAUUUGUUCUGAAACACGUGAACAUUUUGAAAUGUCACAAACAUUUUUCAAUGAUAUCUAAAUUUUAAAAAAAUUGUGCACACAAUAUUUUUGCACUGCAUGAACUUUUUUAAAUGUGCGAUGAAUACUUUUAGAAAUCUAAGUAAUGUAAUUUGAAAUAUGUAUAUUUGUUUUUUCUAAGAGUACAAACAAAUGUUAAAAAAUAUGGAAAACUAAAAAGAACAAAAUGAACAAACUAACUAACGGGCCGGCCACUGCAGUGGCGCACAGAGGCGAGAUGUAUGCUCCUCUUGCUCCGGGCGAGACAUAUCCCCUCCCUUCAAAAAAUUCUAGUCUUACAAAAUUACAGGUAACUAGAUGAAACCCACACGUUGUUGCGGGGAUCGGUUGCAAUAUACGUAUUUCAAUGAGAUUUUAUUAUGUGGAAUAUAAAUAUUUAGAUUACCAACGCAUGAGCCAAAAUUAAAAAUACACACAGAUUAUUAUAUUUGAUUAUGUAUAGUUGUAACAUUUAUUGAAUAUAAGUAGAAUAAUAUAAUGAUUUUCCCCCAUGAAUGGGUGCAUGUUGAGGUGGGUCUUAUCCUAUCCAUAAUGUAUGGUGAUCUGGCAUGUUUGCAUGUUCAGAUAAAUAAAUUAGCGGGAUGACUCUCUAACGUAUAUAGGAUUACUCUUACUAUAUUUUUAUUUCAUGAAAAUGCUUAGAAUAUUGCCAUCUACCUUUUUAUUUCAUUUGGAUGCAUGUUGUAAGUAAGAUUUAAUCUAUUUAUUUAAAAAACAAGUGUAAUUAAUUAUUAACUCUCGUUUGUGUAUAUUCGAUUUUCUAUAUCUUGAGCAUUUUAAAUCCAAGUAAUCUAUUCCACUUAUAUCGGUCUUAGUUUUAGUGUAUGAUAUGAAUUUCAUAUCAUGAUCAUGCUGAUACCUUGGUCAUAUAGCUAGUUUUGAAUGUCUUAUUCGCAAAAGAAAAUAGUUGUAAAUGUCUUGGUGCAAACUGUGAGAACCCACAUGAAGUUAGUGAUUUUGUUUUUUGAAGUAGGAAAAUCAAUAAACUGUUAAAACAGAUACGAGGCCAUAAAACAUAAGCUCACCCAUAGGUUCUAAGGAAUGCCUGCACCAUGCUGAUAUUUCAAAUAAUUUUAGCAGAAUUUGAUCUGGACCAAAUUUAGUCAAUUAUAGAUAAUUCGAUAUAUUUCUAUUUUAUUAAAUUCUAUUUAGAAUCUUGAAUCUAUUCAAAAAUAUAUUAUGUGCUCAUUAAUAAGGCGAUCAUUCUUUUUAUGUUGGUCAUAUCUUCAUUUAAGAUUGUCUAUAGGGUGCUCCUUCAAUACUAUUGUUCCCACCCUCGAUUGUUAACUUGCAAGCUUAUUGAGUAGUUUUAACUUCUAGAAUUCAGAUCAUUUCCUCCAUGGUAAUAUGAUUAUCUUUCACGUUGGUGGUUUUCAUGUUUUAAGAUAAUUAUUCACCGAAGUAAGCAAAGUUAGAAGUUCUUGCUUAACCUAACAAUGAGAUACAAGACAUGCAACCAUAGUGUCGCGAAUGAUGAUACACAGUGUGAGAUACCAUACCUGAAAGGUGUGGACAUACGAAGCCGACCAAAGAGAUUGCCAAUGGAACCCUUGGCCCACACUGACUGGUGCCAAUGUAGUUACUUGGAGGCGUUAAGGAGCGAUGUGUCGUUUUCGGGACCUUGCCGUCAUCAAAUAGAUAUCCCGGAUAUAGGCAGGGUAUCAAAUCACAUCGUAUCGUACCGAAGGCUGGAAGGACAUGACGGGAGGAAGAUAGAGCUCGCCAAUAAUGUUUGGCAGAGGGAAGUGGCUCAAGAGAGUAAAAACAUGAUCGUGAUGGGGCUAGCAUGAUUUACGACGUCUUCGAUCGUUAACGUCGCCUCUCAAUCAAGCUGGCAUGUCAUUUUUGUCAGAUUUACCCUUCGAUAAAUCGCAUGCAAAACUCAUCAAGAUUAUUAUAUAGCAGAGAGAGAGAGGGGGGGGGGGGACAAAUCGUGAUUAUUUUUUAGGGAAGUUUCGAAGCCAACAAGGUGUUCGCUGUUGCACCCGUCCCAUACAAUCAAGGAUGUGGCUAGCAGCACUAGCAUGCCGACUAAUACCGAAGCCUCUAUUCCAGGCAAGGUUUUUGCCCCAACAUUCAUCCACUUGGAUGAAAGUGACCCAUGGUGAAUUUUGGUCUUGGCACGUGGUAUUAUUUUGGUAAAUGGUUGUGUACAAACGCUUUGUGGAUUCAGUGUUCAGUUUCAAUUUUUUUGAACUUGUGUGCUGAAUUCUUGGGUGCGAUUGGGUGCGGUUAGCGAUUUUGCCACUCUAUGGUGAAAAAUGGUGCCGCUUCCAUCACCUGAUCUGGAGGGUUCUUGUGUUUUUUGAUCGGUGCCGCUUUCAUGUUUCGAUCUAGAGUCUGCCUUUUGUUUCUGGUUUGCACCGCUGUAGUCGUUUGAUCUCGAAACCUCGCCACAUACCACCAUCGCUUACGUCCUGGGGGUUAUAAAUAGAUCGUCCUUCUUCUCGUAUCAUUGUGCUAGGUUUUCUUUGGGUUAGCAUAUACUGUUUCUAUGGUAUAUCCUUCUUCCUGUCGUAAUGGACCGCGGCGUCCUGCUCGGCCUCCUCCGUCGUGGGGAGCUCUGGUUGGCCGGUGUGGUGGUUCGGGUUGUCUUGUUGCGUCGGCUGUUGUCUCGGCUCGACCCGUAUGUAUGGAGCAUGCUUUGUACUCUGAUGACCGGUCGUUGCCGCCGCCGCGCCCUGGCUGUCGGCAACUCACUGCUGCUGCCCCCGGGCCUCCUAAUCUCCCUUGACCUUCUUUGCGGUGCUGGCGGGCCUGAUGAGGAUCAGCCACAACUUUGGCUACGGCAUCGCCCUGAGUCCGUCCAACCGGCCGUCCGCGGCCGACGGUGACUACGUCGAAGAUGUUGUCAAUUGGUUACGGGCUGUGCGGAAACCGGGUGUCCCGGCGGCCGGCGCUUGCGUAUCCCCUUGGCGGGCGCAUGGUCUCCGCUCGGACGUAGUAGGACGCCCUGUUCGGGGAGCAUAGAUCCUGCGGCAACAACCUCUACGACAACGACGACGGCAUCACCACCGCCGGAUAACGAUCACUUGCCAGUGCGAGCGGUGUGACAGUGGCGAGAGCGGAUGCUCCUAGUGCAGCAGACAGCAGGUUGCUCUGUGGCGCUGACAAGGGGUUAGGUUGCAGCGUCGGGGCGGAGGGGAGGCGGUGCAGCAGACAGUAGGAUGGUCUCGAAGGCGGCCACACUGCGCAGGAGCGACUGGAGCCGGAGUGGUCCGUUGUUAGCCAAGAUCGGCUGUUGCUGAUGAUGUUGUGGGCAUGUGGAUGAGUAUGUGGAUCUCAACGUGAAACGUCCAUCAGCAAGGCACGGCCUGGCGUUGCGCACUGCACUGCUAUGUGAUGCUGUUGAACAUGAAGUGCACUCAAACCGCGAUGCAUGCCGUCCGCGUUGUAUCCCCUUGCAUGGUCCGACGAGGUUUCGCGUACGUCCAGGUUCGUGUGAUCAUCUCUCUCUCUCUCUCUCUCAUAUUUUUUGUGCAGCUCAACAGCGAGGGAGAUUUGCAAGUGGUAAAAAUUCUGGUGCUAUCAUUGCUAUGUAAUAAGACAAGGUUUCUCCUGAUCCUCUUUCUUCUUGAUAAUCCAUAUAGGGAUUGCUUCUGUCGAUUAUUUUGAAGCCUUUUCUUGUAGACUAAAGGUUCAGAGAUGGCCACUAACUGAUUGGUGUUAUUUAGCUUCAGGUUCAUUUUUGUGCUCUUAAGGUAUAGUAUCCCUUCCAUCAUUGCCGCAAACAUUUACUAUCUGUCCUUGGUGCAGGAAUUUGCAACCGUUAAACCCACGGCGGUUCCGGUGUGGGAUAUAUUCUUCAUGGUCCCGUGUCAUUUGCUUCAUCUGCUGUUAAUUUGAUGAUAUGGUUUUUGGGAUGACCAUGAUUUACUCCCUUCUAAUAUUUGUUCUAUGCAAGCAUCAAGACUAAAUAAUAUGGGUUUACCCCCUUAUCAUAUUUGUUGUAUGUAGGCAUCAAUACUAGAGAUAUGGUUUUAACCCCUUCUCAUAUUUAUUUUUUGAAUGAUCCCUUCUCAUAUUUAUUGUAUGGAUGCAUCAAGCUAUGAUGAAUUUGGAUGACAUACUAUUAACUUACAUAAUAAGACCCUUACGGGGUGAAAAGCCGGAAGCAAUUGCAAGGCAUUAACAAUCUGUUUUUCUUACUGAAGCUGAACAACUGCCCCAUAUACAAGCUCUAUCAUGUUAACUACUGAUGUGAACUUCCUCAGCUAUCAUUUCAUUACGAACACAAAACCAAUGGGCGGUCAAACAAGGAUGCCUUGAAUUACCAAGGAAUCAGAAAUUUAUCAUGCAAUAUCAAUAUGUAUUCUCUUUAUGUAGAAUUAAUGUACUGGCUCUUUUCAUUCAAUAAAAUUUUUCUUUAUGAAAGAUUAUAGCAUUUGUACCAAUAUUUUUUUUUACAUACACCAUAAUAUAAAAUUUGAAGUGAACACGUAAAAAGUGAAUAAAAUAUAAAUAAUUGGUAUAUGAAGUUUAAUAUUAUUGUACAUAGAAUUUCUCACAUAAAGUAUCAAUAGGCGCGGCGUGCCACCGCACGGGCAUGAAAACUCAACAUGGCUCGCUAGCAAGUAAGUACCUAACAGAAUGAAUUUGCAAGACAAACAAUGAUCUUAGCGAUAAUAUGUAAUGAUUUCUCCGACGUGGCACUUCUUCGCAUGUACCCCAACGUCCUCAGAGAGAUGAUCCCAUCAUUACAUACAAAGGAGCUAAGACACCCAUGAUCCCAUCAUUACAUACAAAGGAGCUAAGACACCCGUUGGACAGGUAGAGGAAUUUGCAAAAGCUAUUGACUACUUCAUUAUAAACUAUCUUACAUGGGGCUACACUAGGAUGAUUUAACUCAACUAGGCCAUCCGCAAUCAUUUACUUUCAUGCAGUUGCAUCAUUGUAUAUGGUAUGUUUCAUAGAACGGUCUCUAUAAUGUGCCAAUAAGUAGACCUUAUUAGUAGCGUGUACACUUCCGCUUAUCAGUAUUUAUCAUACAUGGCUGCAAUAAAUGUAUUAAUUUUCCACCUUUUUAGAACUCUUUCUGGGUUUUAGUUAUGCGAUUCUGUCAUUAAAAAUAUAACAAUGGCCUUUACAAUUCGUAUAAAUAUAAUGCAUCACCAGGCGCGGCGUGCCUGCCACGCGGGCUAUGCUAGUCUUAGCUAGACUAAUGUUCCUCUCAUGAGCCAGAAUCAUUCUGUCUCACUAACUCGGUACGCGUACCGCGAUCUAUCAACAUCCCUCGACUGAAUCAGUAGCAGCAGUUCGACACAAUCAGUUUCCACCACCAGUGGCAAGUUCGACGAGUGAAGAGCCAGCCGAAGUCCUUCACCCAUCACAGCCGUCUCAGCUUCCAAAGCAUUAGCACAAUUAACGAGCACACGUGUCGCAACAACAAAAAUAACCGCACCUUCAUGGGUCGCGAGGAAUCAUCCCCGCACGGGUCCAGAUAAAUCCGUAUCUAGGCAAACAGAGAAGAUUAUCUAGACAAAUCGCGUCGAAUCAUCCCCGCACCUUCGUGAUCGAGAUUAUUUGCGAGAGAAAGAAAACAAAGAAGAUGAUGUCAAGUGCUCCCGCCCUUUGGCCCCGAAUUGCUUGUCUUAGAUUUGUCUAGAUAAAUCCGUAUCUAGGCAAAUUUAAGACAAUUAAUUUAGGACGGAGGUGAGAUUUGCCUAGGAUUAUGUCUUGCUAGGUUUAUUUUGAAUGCACGAUGCAGUUUGGGUAUGUCAUGUUCCAUGAAUUGGUGGAGGAAGUUGUCAAACUGACGACCGGGGUCGCUGGUCCGCGAAUAACAAACAAUCUGAAACAGAAGAGAAGCGGUAGCCCCCGUCCCCCCGGAUCACCAGGGGCAUCCGCGACCGAUGCGAUGCGAGUCGCGGCGCCGGUUGACCAUUUCGCUCCCCUCCCCGGCUGCAUGGCAUGGCAUGCGACGCGACGUCUCCUCCCCUCCCACACCCGCUCUCUGCGCUGGAGCUGUGGACUUCCCCCCUCUCUCUUCUCUUCCACCCACCAGGAGAAACAAGAAAUCGUCGACGCUCCUCCCUCUGGGCCUGCCUCUGACUGCUCAGGUCAAUGGUCGCCAACACUGCCUAGAAUGAUGGACUCAGAUCGACCCGCCACGCGUCCCCCUCCGCCACCUUCUUAUACCCGCGCCCCGCCUCCAUCCACCCAUCCCCCCUCCUCCUCCACCCAUCGCCAUCCGUUUCCCGAUUCCUUGUCCUUGCUGUCAAUGGAUCAGUCGUCCUCCUCCUCCUUCGUCGCCGCCGGCCUCAAGCGCAAGAACGCCGCCCUCGGCUGCUCGGAGGUGGCGGGGCUGGGCUACGGGUUGAACGGCGGCGACGGGGAGCGCCGGGUCGUGGUCGGCGAGAUGGACUUCUUCGAGACGGAGAUGAGGAAGGAGAAGCGGGACAAGAAAGACCAUGCCGCCGCCGGCGCGGCGGACGGCGAUCUUGGCAUGAAGCCCGACCUCACCAUCGACGUACGUGAUCCGUCGAUGCGGCGAUGAAUCGUGUGUGAAUCAAAACGUAUUUUGGUAAAUUUGAUUUGAUUUGAUUGACCUAACGUGUGUUUCUGGAUCCAUGCGCGAUCGAUGGAUCGUGUUCCUGUUGAUGGAUCUGCAGAUGGGGCUGCACGUCGGGGGCCGGAGGAGGAACAGCGGCAGCGAGGAGUCCACCGUCGACGACGGCGUCUCCUCCAACGACGACGACCACAGGGAGGCCAAGGCCGAGGUAAUUUUCCCGGUGCGGUUUGCCGUAUACCUAAGUUGCACAUUUUCAAAUCAACUAAGAUCCUUUUUUUCUCCAGCAGGAAACCAACUAAGAUCCUGUACAAAACAUGAAAUGAAAUUCAAAUCCAGAAGAUCGUCUACAACAAACGAAAACGAGCCAAAAACCCUAUAUUUUUCUCGUAGAAUAUAUGCACUAGAUCGCUAAGUUAUUUUUAACAAAAAAUGUGCUAGCCCAGCCACACAGAAAAAUAGUCAGGUUGACUAAGCCUAAGCCGUUUGAGAUCUUUUUUCAAUGUCUAAAUGGACUUGUUUCUUCUUCUUCUUCUUCUUCAAAAAAAAAAUCAACUUAUAUGGACAUAAAAAAAAUACCUAGUCUAGAGCCGCUUAAAUAAAUAUAGAGGAAGCAAAACAAGAAAAAAAGGAACGUUGACUUGUUUGACUUUUAUUUUUGGAUGAUUUUUUUUACUUGUCUUCUGUGCCUAUGACUUUGAGCAGCUCGCGGCCGCGAAAUCGGAGCUGGCGCGGGUGAACGAGGAGAACAAGCGGCUCAAGACGAUGCUCGCCAACGCCAACACCAAGUGCAGCUCCCUCCACAUGCAGAUCGCGCUCAUGCAGCAGCAGCAGCAGCAGCAGAGGAGCAGCCAUGGCCACGCCCACGCCCACGCCCACCAGUUCGAACCGGAGAAGAGGGAGCAGCAGCUCCUCCUCGACGCGGGGACCCACAACCCCCUCGUGCCGCGGCAGUUCAUGAGCCUCGGCUCCUCCUCGUCGCCCGACGAGCCCCGCCCCGCGCGCGGCACCGACGCGUCGCCGAGCACCAACCCCCUCCUCGCCGUCGGCCCCGACGCGGCCUUGGACUGCGCCGGCUGCCAUGGCCUCGUCGGCGCGGGCAAGGCGGAGCUCAUGCCGCUGCCGUCCUUCGAGCACCACGGUCACCACGAGAGGGGCGGCAGCCCGGAGGCCAUGCAGGGCUGGCUGCCUAGCAAGGUGCCCAAGUUCCUCCCCGCCGCCAAGGGCCCCGAGCCGCCCCCGCCCGAGGCCGCCGCCGCCGCCGCCACCAUGCGCAAGGCCCGCGUCUCCGUGCGCGCCCGCUCCGAAGCCGCCAUGGUACGUGCGCUCGUCCUCCUCGUCCUCAUCCAUGAAGCAUGGCAUGGCUUGGGUUUAAUUAAAUGUUUCUGCCGGCGGUGCUGCAGAUCAGCGACGGGUGCCAGUGGCGCAAGUACGGGCAGAAGAUGGCCAAGGGCAACCCGUGCCCGCGCGCCUACUACCGGUGCACCAUGGCCGCCGGCUGCCCGGUGCGGAAGCAGGUGCAGCGCUGCGCCGAGGACCGGACGGUGCUCAUCACCACGUACGAGGGCAACCACAACCACCCGCUGCCGCCGGCGGCCAUGGCGAUGGCGUCCACCACGGCGGCCGCGGCCUCCAUGCUGCUGUCGGGCUCCAUGCCCAGCGCCGACGGGCUGAUGGCGGGCGGCUCCAACUUCCUGGCGCGCGCCGUGCUGCCGUGCUCCUCCAGCGUGGCCACCAUCUCGGCGUCGGCGCCGUUCCCGACCGUCACGCUCGACCUCACGCAGACGGCGCCGGGGCAGGGCGCGUCGCCGCCGCGCGCGCCGGAGCCCGCGCAGCUCCAGGCGGCGCUGGCCGAGGCGGCGCGGCCGGUGUCGCUGCCGCAGCUGUUCGGGCAGAAGCUGUACGACCAGUCCAAGCUCUCCGCCGUGCAGGCCGUGGCCGGCACCAACGGGGACGGCGGCGCGCAGCUGGCCGACACGGUGAACGCGGCCACGGCCGUGAUCGCGUCCGACCCCAACUUCACCGCCGUGCUCGCGGCCGCGCUCACCUCCUACAUCGGCAGCAGCAGCGGCAGCGGCAGCGCCGGAGGUGGCGCCACGGCCGCCGGCGGGAGCAGCGGCACGGUGCAGCCGCUGGUGAGCAGCGGCGGCGACAGCUGCAGUAGAGACGACACGACCGGCUAGCUUAAUCAAGAAGAUCUUGGUCGUUUGCUCGCUUCCAAUUUUGCUUCUUUUUGCUUGCUUCAGUCAAAUUUUGAUCAGGGAUUAGUCUUGGCAUUCUCUUUUGGUUAGUUUCGCACACCGCCGAUCUCCCCUCCGGCAGCCGCCCCGCCGGAAUUGGAGGAGAUGAGAAUUUUUUUGCUUGAGCAUCUGCUCCUUUUAUUAGUUCAUUUGUGUAGGUGUAGCAGCAGCGGCAGCAGCAGCUUUGGGGUAACAAAGUUUUGUGGUAGAUUGAUGAGAAUAUAUGAGGUGGCUUUAGUUCAGACCUUCAAGUUAAGAUGUUAUUCAAUCAAGAUAAACUGUUUUUACUGAUGAUUAUCUCGAAGAUGAAAUUAACCUCAGCACUCUGCUCCUGUGAUCCCACAGACUUGGCCUGAAUUUUGCCAUUUUCAUUUCGACGCAGCUUUCAGCGAACAGAUGAACAAUUCAUGGAGCCAAACAACCCAAGAAGGCAAAGUGUAAAGCAACUUCAGCAGACAAACAGAGGAUUGAAUUGGCAUUGCAGCACUGCAGGCUAUCUACAGGGACAGAGCUGAAUACAGUUUCGACAGAGAAGCAACGAUUUCAUGGUCCACCAGAUGCUUACAUCAAAUUUUGGUAAGAGUUCCUGACUAAUAACUGAUCUAAUUCAACCUGCAUUCAACACCUAAAUACCUCACUCAAACGAGGGUGAGAAGAAAAGAAAAGAAGAAACACGACUAUUUCCUACUCCCAUGCAUGAUAAGCGAUGACGUCACGCCUGUAUUUAUAGCGCUUGAAUCUCCCCACCGUAGCCGUAACGUUUCAAAAGCCGUUCAUCUUGCCGCCAGUUUUCCUUCACCUUCACAUCUAUCUGCUCACAAAAUAGUAUGCGGUGAUUACAAACUGCUCUAGAACAAUAACAGAGGGGGUGAUCAUGCGACAGAAGAAGGAAGAAGUUAUGACCUCAAGAUAAACCUUCUUUUGAAGGAAAUCUUCGAUGUCAAGCCUGGAUGCUGUUGCCAACGUCUUUAUAGCUUUCCCAUCCUGCAUUUGAGGAACGUAGUGCAUGAUCAUUUUGCUCGUUAAAAUGUUUAAGGUAGGAACUGUUUCAUUCCCCAAAUAUAUCUUCUUAUUUAUGACCCAAUUCCUUUUCUAAUAAUAAGAUCAACCUUAAUUUCGUUUCAUCUAUUCAAAAGUUUGUAGAACAACACAUACAUUUAGCAAUUCACGAAAUUCCCAAAAGGUAGUUUGUGCAAAAUCCUUCAAUGUCUUGUUAUGCUUAACUUAACUGAAUUUCUAAUCCUGAAAUAUCCAAUACUGCACACAAAUAAUUGUUUUGUACUGCUUUACCUUCCCAAGUAUAAUGCUUCUUUGUGAUUCCCUCUCAACAAGUAUCUCAACUUGAAUAAAAUCCUUGGCACUAGGCCUGCUUUUGUAACUUGUAACAUUAACCUGUCAUGAACAGAAAUUACAUCACACAAACAGGCUAGCAAAACGGAUAAGCUUAUACACUAAACUGAGGAAAUCACCAGAAGAUAUACCUGGCAUGCGUAUGGAAUUUCCUGCCUAUAUUGAAGAAAAAUCUUUUCCCUCACUAUCUCCCCCACAAAAAAUCUCUCGGGGUGUUCACUAGCUAUGUCCUGGAACAAAGAACAUGCACAAUAUAUUUAGUGUUUUAUAAUCUCAGGACUUGCUCCCUGUAGCUAAACAUCGAAAUGAAUACCUGGAAUGCAGUAAUAGACCAUCUAAUGGACAAACAUGAGACUACCUUUAACAGAUAUAUGUCGAGCUGAAACUACCUUUAACAGAUAUGCCAAAAAACUGUAAAAACAAUAUCUAGCCAACAAAGGCUCCAGGCUAUGAUUUUAGCAUCAUAAUGACUUCAAGUAGAGAAGUUGUGUGAUGGAAUAAAGUUUAAAGCUGUGGGAUGAUUACUCUACAGUAACAGGUAAAAAAAAAGUAGAGAAGUCAUGAAAACCCAUAUCCUCUAUUUCGAAGAAUAUUUCUGCACAACUGAUUUACCCUCUAUCCCAAAAUAAGUGUCUCAACCUUAGUACAACUUUGCGCUAGAGUUAGUACAAAGUUGAGACACUUAUUCUGGGACAGAGGGAGUAGUAGUUAGUCAAAUGUGCUGAUUAAAAUUAUCAUGCCUCCGAGUUCACAGAGUCAGCUUAUAUAAAGCUGUCUCGGGAGUCAGAACUGUGUUACAAUGAUGGUAAGAUUCUCAUACUAGGAUCAUCUUAUAAGAUAAUGUGGUAUUGGUUUGCAACUGAUGGAAGCAAUUGAACUCAUAGAACAGUUAACCAUAGCUUAACACAUUAUUCAGUGUGCAUAAUAAAAUAUGAAGAAAAAAUGUAAAACUACCACAUCGCCUACACGAUAGAUUGAUUAGUACAUCUCAGUAAAAGAAAGACUGAUCAAAACAACAAUUGCAGGAUUCAAAUUUGGCAUGAGCACAUCAGCAAUCAGGCAGACACUCUUAACCAAAGUGGCAGAACAACUGAUUAUUUCGUACUACCAAAAGGUGUUGAUUCUUGAGAUUAAGGCCAAGAAAAAUAAAUAAAUAACUCGUGCAUGUUACUAAGUUGCAUUGCACAUUUCUACUUGAUUUGUUAGGUCUACAUGAUAAAGAAAAUGGCUGUCCAUGCAUAGUACAAGGACUGCUUCAGAGACUUUUGCAUCUUCCAUAGUGAUGAUACCUUGGGGUAGUAAGCAGGACCCAGUGGAAGCUUUGACAAUAUCCACUCCUUGAUAUCAACCACUCCAUGACCAAAUUUAGCACUUAUAGGUAUAACAUCGUCAACAUCAGUGAAUUUUUGGUACCACUGUGAAAAGAGUUGUCAAGAAAUAAAUACCGUCGUAUACAGAGGAAAUCACAAAAACCAUCACUUCUAUAUUAUUCAGUUUCUUACCUCAAGUUUCUUUGCGAUUUCUCCGGGUUUUAUCAUAUCUUUCUUGUUGAGUACCAACACAACAGGGACCUUGGUAUCUUUGUUUCCCACGCCCGCUUCCAGCAUAUCAUCUAUCUAAAACCAGAGAGGGAAUGUCAAGCAAGGUAGACUCAAGACAUUCACCUAGUCCUUUAUUUUUGUCGGCAGUCACCUUUUCGGGCAAUUUGGAAGCAUCAGCGACGACAAUCACACAGUCCGCGUUACCGAUAGCGCUCUGGACAUUCUUCAUCAUCAUCGAGUCUAGCUUGUGCAUUUCCUUCUUGAUGAUGCCUGGCGUGUCAUAAAGUAUUAUCUGCAAACUAAAUGAUAACUCGGAUCAGCAUUCAGAAAUCAUCAUGAUAUCCUCUGUGGAGACAUUGGUUUAUACUGCAUUUGAACUGAGCUCUACAGGUGCUUUGGAGACUAGAAGGUUGUACCUGGUAUUCUGGUUCCGAACAUAUACCAAGAAUGCGGUGACGUGUGGUUUGUGGCUUAUCCGUUACGAUCGAAAGCUUCUGACCGACGAUUUGGUUUAUCAGGGUGCUCUUGCCGACAUUCGGCUUCCCCAACACAGCAACAUAACCUGUGGAGACACACAGCACAGGCUCACAGCAUUACAACAUGGCAAUUGUUUUUCAGAAAUUAAUUGUCAGAUAACUUGUUUCCUCUGAAUUCUCCCAGAAUCUUGUAAUUUUUUUCAUUUAUUUAUGCUGCACAAUGACAAAUUCCAGAAUUUUACUGAACCAAGAAUGCUCCUGGUUGCAUUUGGUGCAUCAUGAACACUAAAGACUGAAAUAAUCUACCUGGCCAGGGAGUGCUGAAUGAAAUCCAGCUAGGUACGUACACAAACAAAGCAGAGCACAGAGAAGAAGAAGGCUCACCGCUGCGGUGGUUGGCGCAGAGCGCCGCCCCCAGCUCCUCCGACUCGUACUCGUCCAGCAGCGCCAGGCUCCGGUCCGGCUUCUCGAUGAGCUCCAGCCGCGGCCUCGCCAUCUCCUCCCCCUCCUCCACCUCCUCAUCCUCAACCACCGCAUAGCUCACACCCCCACUCGUCGACACAGCCCCAGCCCUCCUACUCCCGCGCCUCCCAGCGCGGACGCCGCCCCGUCCUGGCACGCACGGCGGUGGAAGAUGCCGGCGGGGGAGGCGACUGGCCGGCGGCGCGGCUAGCCGGAGCAUGAGGCCUAGCUCCAUUGCGCAGAGAGCAGCUGAGAAAGUGGCUAUGGGAUAAGAGUGGAAGGAGACGACGACCCAAAACGAUUUAAUUUCCCCCUGCGGCCCAGGGCCCAUCCCAGGCCCAGACCUGAAGAGGCCCAUUAACGGGCCCAUCGGGCUGUCGACCGUCUCGGUGCUCCGACAAAAGGGCCGAGGCGGCCGCCGAGCAGAACCCACGCGGCAUAAACCCUAGCUAGGCUCUCCAUCCCCUCCUUCCUCCUCCUCCUCCUCCACAGGCUCGUCGGCGGCGGCGGCGCGCGGCGGCGCGCGGCGGCGAUGGGGAAGGCGAAGGGGAAGCAGAGGCAGGACAAGUACUACCACCUCGCCAAGGAGCAGGGGUACCGGAGCCGAGCGGCCUUCAAGCUACUACAGCUCGACGCGCGGUUCCGGUUCCUGCCGACGGCGCGGGCGGUGCUCGACCUCUGCGCGGCGCCCGGCGGGUGGGUGCAGGUGGCCGUCAACCACGCGCCCGUCGGCGCCUUCGUCGUCGGCGUCGACCUCGUGCCCAUCCGCCCCAUCCGCGGCGCGCACUCCCUCACCGAGGACAUCACCACCUCCAAGUGCCGCUCCGCCGUGCGCAAGCUCAUGGACUCCAAGGGCGUCGCCUCCUUCGACGUCGUCCUCCACGACGGCUCGCCCAACGUCGGCGGCGCCUGGGCGCAGGAGGCCACCACCCAGUCCGCCCUCGUCAUCGACGCCGUCCGCCUCGCCACCAUGUUCCUCGCCCCCAAGGGCGCCUUCAUCACCAAGGUAUCUACGCGGUCCGCCGCGAAUGCUGGCCCGCUGAAUCCGUUAUGAAAAAUAGCCAUUGACUACAAAUGAUUCUUGAUGUUGUUCCCCUGUGUGAAGCGCACCUAUUAAAAUCAGAUGUAUUUCUUCUUCUUGUCAACAGGUCUUCAGGUCUCAGGAUUACAAUGCUAUCAUGUUCUGUCUUAAGCAGGUGUGUAUUGAACGCAGGUUUUCUUCAAGUACUUUAUUUAUUUCAUAGUAGUGUGUUGACGCAUGGAACAAACCCAUUUGCAUUUCAGCUGUUUGAGAAGGUUGAGGUGACUAAACCUAGUGCGAGUCGUGGCACAUCCGCCGAAAUUUACAUUAUCUGUCUCAAAUAUAAAGCGCCAGCAAAGAUUGCUCCAGAACUUCUUGACAUAAAGCACCUGUUCAACGUCGAACCCGAGAAGAAGAUGGUAUGCUGAAACAUUUGUCAGAGUUACUCAAUCGAUUUCUCUUUUUAAUGUGUUAGCAUCCCCUAAUGUUACAUUUUUGUGGUUUCUGCAGCCUAGGGAUGUACUUGGUACUAAUAAAAAGGACAAAAGACAGCGUGAAGGGUAAGUAUGCCUUCUUAUGUCGGCACACGAGUUUGCACGUUCAUUUUUCUUGCAGUACUGCUUUUCUACUACUCAACAAAUGCAUCGGGAAUGAGGGUCAUGCUACAAUACUUUAGUUGUAUUUCAGUGCCUCAUAGACUAUAAAUAAGCAUGGCUGGUGUAAUGAUAUAAGAUUUAGAGAAUAUCAUGCUUUGCUAGCUCUGUAAUUUUACCACAUAUAUUGGUUAAUACCCAUGAAUGUAUUACAUUGACUGGAACUUUUCAUACAGUGACUGGCUAUAUUGGUGCAUUUGCUAGUGUAAACAAGACAACAGCACAGUGAACUUAUGUUCAGAUCUGGCAUGCCUUCUCCCUUUCUCACACUAAGGGUAACAACAUAUUAUGCAGUGGUGCAUCACAUGUGUGAAAACAUUUCUCUGCAUAUCUUGGUAGCAGUCAGCCACAGUGUCAUUUCUUGAAACUAAUUGAUGCCUUUUUUUUUGCUAGUUCUGUUUUUAGGGUCAAAUAAGCAGCUAGCCAUUUGAAAUUUGACCCUGAUAACUUUCCUCUUUUAUGCUACUUUAUUAAGUGGUUAAUGGUAAAGAACUGAAAUUAUCUGAACAUCUGGUCCUUUGUAUUGUUCUUUCAAACUUUGAACUAUAUAAUCCACUCUGGUGGGAGAUCCACAUUACUAAUUUCUAUUGUAUGUGAUUCAUUCAGGUACGAUGAUGGAGUCACAGUAUUGAGGAAAGUUGGUCAGGCAUCAGAUUUUAUUUGGUCUGAUGCUCAGACACCACUGGAAUUUCUUGGUUCUGUUACAGAAAUUUCAUUUGAUGAUGAAGCAUCUGUGCCUAUCAAGAAUCAUGAGUUUACUACAGAUGAGGUAAUGGAGUAAUGCCUUUGCUCUGCAUUCCUGCUGCCUAACUUGUAUUCAAUCUUAGUUAUAAUGCUGACUGAUUCUAUGUUUUGUUGUGUGCCAGAUAAAAAAUCUUAGUGACGAUUUACGUGUGCUGGAUAAAAACAGCUUCAAGCAUAUCUUGAAGUAAGUAUCUUUUCCUAUUCUAUUUUCUCAUCAAGUUUAUUUCUAGAUUAUGAUUAUCCAAGCAUGUCUAUUACUAUCAGUGUGUCAUGUGGAGAGGUGCCUUUCAAUCUCCUCUCAUGAAACUAAUAUAUAUUAUGUUAGGUGGCGCAUACGCAUAAGGAAAGCAUUGUCGUCAUCUUCCCAAGUGACACCUAAGGCUGAUGGUACUGUGGUGGAGACCAAGGUCAACGAUGAUGACCAACUUCUACAGGAAAUGGAAGACCUGACAAGUUUCAUUGAUAGGAAAAAAAGAAGAGAUAAGAAGCGUCAAUCAAGACGUCGUGCAAAGGUAUUUACAUUAUGAAAUAUGAAAAGCCUUGUUUGCUGCACGUGGCAUUGAUUUGAAUUGUGUGCUGAUAUAUCAGUCUCUUUAUUCCAGGAUAAAGCACGCAAGGCAACAGGAAUGCAAAUUGAUGCUACAGAAGAGGGAUAUGGUGAUCCUGACUUGUUCUCUAUUAAGGCUAUCAAGGUAUCCUGCUGUUUAUGUAUUCCUAUCUGUCUUACUUUGCCUUGUACACCACAGAAAGUUCAUCAUUCUUUCUCUCAGAAGAGUUUUUCUUCUAAGUCAUCUAGGCCUUAUUAUCAUUCGGCGAGCACAUGUGGAAAAGUGAUUUUGGUUCUGUUGUAAUUUCUCUCAAGUUACUGUCCCAGCUUAAUGUCUUAUUUUAGCUUUUACAUGUCCACGUUGUCUGUGCUUGCGAACUCAGUGAUAUAUACUUCUCUAUAGGGUGGAAAAGAUCUUCAGGCUGUUGAGUCAGCAGAGUAUAAUGCGGAAGAUGGCUCUGGAAACAGUGAGAAUGAAGCGACUCAAACUCAUGAAGACUCUGAUGAGGAAAUGGAUUCUGAUGAAGAACAGCAGAGGUAAUUUUUCAGACACCCACACCAAAAAUAAUACUCCCUCCGAUCCAUAUUACUUGUAGCUCAGUCGGAUGAUUUAGAUGUAUUCCAAUGCUAGAUACAUCUGUUUGAGCGACAAGUAAUAUGAAUCAGCGGGAGUAAUAUUAUAGUUUGGUCAUAUAAAUUCAUCACUUGCAAAAUUUACUAUAAAAAUUCCAGAGACACAUAACACAACGUCUUUUUACUCAGGUAUGAUGCUCAACUUGAGGAGAUGCUUGAUGAAGCUUACGAACGUUUUGUGACAAAGAAAGGUGGAGAAGUAAAACAAGAACGCAAACGUGCCAAGAGAAUCAAUACUGAUGCUGAUACAGACCUGUUAGAGGUAAUAACUGACAUUAAUCCACAUGAAUUUUGUCCUCGCCUUUGAAACCCAUUGUUUUUAUAGAAUGGCCAAUGGACUCAACUUGAUGACAAUAUAUGCUAUUAUGUUACAACUUGAUAUAGGGGGGUGAAGAUGAUGGCAGCGAUGUUGACAUGGACCAAGGUUCCGAGGAAGAGGAAGAUCAAGAGGCCAACCCCCUUUUAUUGUCUUUUGAUUCAGCGAAGCCAACAAAAGAACAGACUACAAAGCAGUGGUUCGGUCAGGAUCUGUUUGCAGAAUUAGGAGCUGACCUAGCUGAGAAGAGUGACAGUGAGGAUGAAAGAGAGAACCCGCGUAAGAAUUUGAAAAAGAAGGUGGAUUCAGGAAAGAAGGAAACCCCGGCUAAAGCACAGCUGGACGCAGGAAAGAAGGAGAAACCGACUAAAGCUCAGCGCCUGCAGCAAGAUGAUAUUGAGAUGGUGGCAGCAGAGCCAGUCCGAGCUGCAGAUGACUCGUCCUCAUCCUCGGACGAGUCAGACGACGAUCUAGACGAGGACAUGGAUGACGACACCAAGGCCGAAGUGCUGGCGUACGCGCACAAGAUGCUGAGGAAGAAGCAGAGGGAGCAGAUCCUGGAUGACGCAUACAACAAGUACAUGUUUGACGACGUGGGCCUGCCCAAGUGGUUUGCCGAGGACGAGAAGAGGCACACCGUGCCCAUGAAGCCGAUAACGAAGGAGGAGGUGGCGGCCAUGAAGGCCCAGUUCAGGGAGAUCGACGCGCGGCCGUCGAAGAAGGUGGCGGAGGCCAAGGCGCGCAAGAAGCGCGUGGCGGCCAAGAAGCUGGAGAAGGCGCGGCAGAAGGCGGACAUCGUGGCGGACCAGAGCGACAUCAACGAGCAGUCCAAGGCCAAGAUGAUCGACAAGAUCUACCGCAAGGCGGUGUCGACGCAGCGGCCCAAGAAGGAGUACGUGGUGGCCAAGAAGGGCGUGCAGGUCCGGACCGGCAAGGGCAAGGUGCUGGUGGACCCCCGGAUGAAGAAGGACAAGCGGAGCGCCGGGUCGGGCAAGAAGGGCGGGAAGGGUGGCAAAGGGGGCGGCAAGGGGAAGAAGGGCGGCGGCGGCAAAGGCGGCGGCGGGCAGAAGAAGGGCGGGAAGGCUGGUGGCGGUGGGAGGAAGGCCGGCGGCGGCAAAGGAGGGCCGCGUUGAGUAGUUUGACAGGAGGCGUAUGGAUGAGCAGCUCGGCGUGUCGCCUGCUGAAAGUUUUCGCCUGUUGGAUGGCUCGCUCUCUGCUGCCGAAAUUUUUGCCUGUCCUGGUAGCUAAGCUGUUUUUUUUUUUGGAGCUGUAAUACGUUGAUGCUAUGAGAGCUGUUUCAGUGUGUGAGAAAAGUUUUGUAAGUUACGCUUGUAUCGGACGAUUUGUGGACAAUAAUUUGUUAUCGUGGUGAAACCCUGGCAGUAUCAUAAUCAUGUCGAACUUAGCUUAAACUUGCUAGCUUUGUGGCCUAGUAGAAAACAGAGACCAAAAAUGAAGCUAGGACACAUGGGGCUACAUAUUUGU
This 62834-nucleotide long non-coding RNA is filed under the name Triticum aestivum (bread wheat). RNAcentral's name for it is "long non-coding RNA (TAES_LNC010976)". The record is from RNAcentral. Lineage: Eukaryota; Viridiplantae; Streptophyta; Magnoliopsida; Poales; Poaceae.